RNAcentral lists this long non-coding RNA (67380 nucleotides) under Malus domestica (apple). RNAcentral describes it as "long non-coding RNA (MDOM_LNC015932)". The stretch from base 35555 to 35626 matches the Rfam family "tRNA". The record is from RNAcentral. Lineage: Eukaryota; Viridiplantae; Streptophyta; Magnoliopsida; Rosales; Rosaceae.
CAAACUUUAUCACAUCCCAAGUGGUAUUGCGAACUUGACAAGUCUUAAAGUUCUUGAUCUAUCCGAUAACUAUUUCAACUCUACCAUACCUACAUGGUUGUACAGUUUGAACCAUCUUGUGUCCCUUGAUCUUUCUUUGAAUGCUUUCCAUGGUGAAAUUUCUAGUUCCCUUGGAAACUUGACAGCCCUUGUUGAUCUUCAAUUAGGUUCUAAUCAGCUUGAAGGGGAAAUCCCAGACUCAUUGGGAAAUCUUUGUAAGUUGACUUCUUUUGAUCUAUCGUCAAACAAUUUUAUGGGGAGGGUAUCAGAAAUCUUUGAAAGUUUGUCUCAGUGUAGUUAUGGACGAAUAGAAUUUUUAUAUCUUUUGGAUAAUAAGUUUUCAGGUCAUUUAUCUGAUCAGCUAUGAAGUCUUAAAAACUUAUUUCUUAUUGAUCUUUCAAGUAAUUCAAUAUCAGGUUCCAUUCCAGUGUCCUUAGGAAAUCUAUCAGGCUUAUACGAGUUGGUCAUUGAACACAAUUCAUUCGAGAGUGUUGUCUCUGAAGUUCAUUUUACUAAUCUUACAAGAUUGAAAAUCUUUAUUGCAAAUGAGAACUCCUUGACUCUUAAAACCAGCCCAGAUUGGGUUCCUCCUUUUCAACUUGUUGAGUUGAGUUUAAGUUCUUGGCGUCUGGACCCAUCAGAGUUGCCUACAUGGCUUCAAAGUCAAAAAUAUUUGUCUGCUCUUAAUAUGUCCAAUACAGGAAUUUCAGGUACCAUUCCGACUUGGUUCUGGAACAUCUUUUCGUAUGGUGGAGAAAACUAUGUGGAUCUCUCUUAUAAUCAGUUGUCUGGCGAGGUUCCAAACAUAGUUUCUGCCAACUGGUGAAAACCAAAACAACAUUCCGAUUCAAAAAUCAUGAUUGACUUCAGGUCGAAUCAAUUCAAAAGUUCAUUGUCUCUUGUGUCUUCAGCAGUGUCUACACUUGAUCUUUCCACUUCAUCAUUUUCAGGAACUCUCUCUCACUUCUUUUGUGAUAGGAGUGAUGUACCUAAAAACCUUCAAGUUCUUCAUCUUGAUAACAAUUUCCUCGUUGGAGAAAUUCCUGAUUGUCUAUUAAAUUGGCCAAAUUUAGAUAACAACAAUUUGACAGGGAAAAUUCCAAGCUCUAUCGGGGACUUACUUUCCCUUCAAUCAUUGCACUUGCGCAAUAAUAACCUAUCUGGAGAAUUACAUGUGUCCCUACAAAACUGUAAGCAGCUGUUACUUCUUGACCUUGGUGGAAACAAGUUUGUUGGAAGCAUUCCAAUAUGGUUUGGGCAAAGCUUGGUAGUUCUUAGUCUUCGUUCAAAUAAGUUCCAUGGCGACAUUCCUGAUGAACUCUGUAGUCUCAUAAAUCUUCGAAUCUUGGACCUUGCGCAUAACAAUCUCUCGGGAACGAUAACAAGAUGUUUCCAACAUUUGUCAUCCAUGGCCAUAGCCACAUCAUUUGAGUUGGACAAUCGGUCUGUAGGAUUUGGUAGCCCUGGCAUUAUCCUAUUUUCUGCUGGGGAUAGUUAUCUAGAGCAUUUUGUGGAGGCCUACACAGAGAAUGCAGUUUUUGUGACCAAAGGCAGAGAAAUGGAAUAUACCACAAUGCUUGGUUUGGUGGUUGGCUUGGACCUUGCAAGCAACAUGUUAUUUGGAGAAAUCCCUCAAGAGCUGACCAGUCUCAUUAGCUUACAAACAUUGAAUUUAUCCAACUAUCGUCUGACAGGAAGAAUCCCUUCCAAAAUCGGUGAUAUUGGGCUAUGUCUUCCACUUCAGCUGAACUUGAUUGGAUACAACAACUUCUUCAAUUUCUGCACAUCAAACUUCCAACAGCUCUAGUUAUCUUUUGUGACAAUUUGUCCGCAAUAGCCCUGUCAUUCAAUCUUGUUCAACAUCAGCUUACGAAAUACAUUGAGAUAGAUGUUCAUUUUGUGCAUGAACGGGUUGCCAAACAUCAUCUCAUGGUUCAGUUUGUAUCUUCCAGGGAGCAAUUUGCAGAUAUACUAACAAAAGGACUUAGUUCUCCUUUGUUUCGGUUUCAUUGUACCAAUCUCAUGCUUGGUUCAUCCAAACCUGAGAUUGAGGGGGGAUGUUAGGAUAUAUAUUAGUGUUAUGAGAUUAUGACACUUGACAACAGAUUGUGCAUUUAGUUAGUUAGUUAGUUUGUUACAUGUAUUUGGCUUCUAUAUAAGUCUAAGUGUAAUGACUUCCUGUGUAAGAAAUAUACACAAUAAUACAUUCAUCUCUCUCUCUCUUCUUACUUUCUCUCUCUAAGUUCUUGAUAAUUCUCUCUGAUAUAUCUGUAUACAUAUUAACAGGUCUAACGGAUUGAGUUUUGCAUGGUUCCCUUGAAGCCUACCUUUACAUACAUGAAGAUUAAAACUUGCAGACUCGCAAACCAGAAAAGAAUAAGACUUCCAGAAAUACUAAUUAAAAUUUAAUAACUAACUUCAAAUUAUUACUAGACUAAUUUUCCAUAAGAAGAUAAAAGACAAACACAGAAAAUGGAGCUACAGAGUUCUGGAGUUGUUUCCUAAGGCGGGAUGCGGGAGAGAGAGGAAAAUGGGGGCGGAGAGAAGAAGAGAAGGGACAAUAUGGUGGGCCCUACCUCUAUGAUUUGCUUACUUGUCGGAUAACUAUAACUUCAUCUAUUUUUAUGAAGGAAGAGACAAGGAAGAAAAGAGAGGGAAUAGACAACGAAAUUGCUGCCUACCCUAAAAUCAACAUGCCAGCGUCGACAUGCUACUCAAUCCAUGUCCAUGUCCUCCCGCGCCACCCAUCCAAAACCACCCAUACUCAUUGGCCUUCAACCGUGCCCCGUCACAAUUUUAUUUAAUUGCUCCAUAAUAUUACGCACUAAAUUCUAUAUUACUCUAAUUUACAGGGUGGGGGAUUUGAACUUCGGUGCAAUACUAUGGGGACUUUGCCUCGGCCAACUGCUCCAACCCACGUUUGCUAUCGCUCUUUAGAUAGCUGAAUAUUGGCUUAGCAGGUACUGGUAUGAACUUGAAAACCCAACUAAUUGGCCAAGAUAUGGCUGCAAUCCCAAUGCAUGCACCCCAUUGUCCCCAACUUAACCGCUCUGUGUUUGCAAACUUGUUCAGAAGUUCCACCAUCACCACCUGAACUGCAAUUGUUACAACGAGGAUGCCCCAAAACAGCCUGUUCCCCUGACUCCCUUUGAAGAUAUUAAUCCUCUCCAUAUCCCUUGAAUUAAGCUCAUUAAACACUUGGCAAAACACAAAUACAUUGAAGAUCAAUGUGUUGUUUACCGUCUCACUAACACCAAAUAUUGAUCUGCCUUUGAACUGCAAGACCAAGAGCACAACUAUCUGGAACAAAGCUUGGGGUAAAAGGUUCCUCCACAUGAUGUUGGUGAUCACGGGAUCCGUCUGACCCACGGGUGGCUUUUCCAUGAGCUCUUUGGUGGGCUUAUCGGUGGCGAGAGCCAGAGCCGCCAUUGUGUCCAUAAUCAGAUUCACCCACAGUAGCUGGACCGCUGUUAAAGGUACUUCGCCAGCCGAGGCAGCUGCCACAAAGUUGACCACAAGAGUUGCAACAUUUAUUGUGAGCUGGAAUUGAACAAACUUUUGGAUGUUGGCAUAAACUCCUCUUCCCCACUUUAAAACAGUCACCAAAGUUGCAAAAUUGUCAUCUAAAAUGACAAUGUCUGAGCUCUCCUUGGCCACUUCCGUUCCCUGAAUCCCCAUCGAGAGUCCUAUGUCCGCUUCUUUGAGUGCGGGUGCAUCAUUCGUGCCAUCACCUGUCACAGCUACUACAUUGCCUUUCUGUUUCAAGCAUUGCACCAUAAGAAGCUUAUCAAAUGGCGAAGACCUCGCCAUCACGUGAAUUCCAUCAACUUUCUGCAUUCUUUGCUCCGGCGUGAAGUUGCGAAAUUCUAUACCUUCUACCACUGCUUCCUUGGCUUCCUGGUCAGGCCGGAGUAUCCCGCACUCGCUAGCUAUUGCUUUAGCGGUGAAAACAUUGUCACCGGUGAUCAUUUUCACCUGCACCCCAGCUAACUGGCAAGCUUCUACUGCUUCCCUCACUCCUGGCCUACAUGGAUCCUUUAGACCUACCAAUCCUACGAGGAUCAAGUUGCUUUCUUCGAGCUUUUCGUACUUUUCGUCAUUAAUGUGCUUAUUCUGAACUUGUUUGUGUGCAAAAGCAAUGCAUCGGAGACUGCUUGCUGCCAUGCCUUGAAUAAUCUUCUCAAACUUCAGCCUUUCAUCAUCAUUCAGAUCUUUCGUGACACCAGACGCAUCGUAGUAACUCGAGCAUAUUUCUAGUAUCAUUUCUGCAGCUCCUUUCCAAUGUACAUGGGUAGUAUUGUCGGCCUUCCUUCUCAUCAAAACCCCACUUCGUUUCUUGUGCGAAUUGAAGACUUCAACAUGUUGAAUGACACAUUGCUUCUUCAAUUUCUCCAUGUCCAUGUGCAGCUCUAGAGUAGCCCAUGAAAGAAUGGCUUUUUCAGUAGGACUGCCCGAAAACUCAAAUCCCGAUCCUGAACUAGGCCUAUAAACACUACCAGUUGUGUUAAACGUUACUCCUUCUCGGAUUAAAUCGAGAAGGCAAUCAGAAAUUGAUGAAUAACCAGCAUCAUCUUCCACAGAUUCCUGUCCAAGCCAAAACUUUGUAACCUUCAUCUCGUUGAGCGUCAGUGUGCCCGUCUUGUCUGUACAAAUUACGGUGGCACAUCCCAUAGUUUCGCAAGCAGAGAGCCUCCUUACCAAUGCUUGGUCCGCCAUCAUCUUCUUCAUCGAAUAAGCGAGAGUCAGAGUGACAGCCAACGGGAAGCCUUCAGGAAUUGCAAUCACGACAAUAAUAACUGCAACUGCUACCAUGUCCACCGCGGCAUUCACCAUAUCAUCAAUCUUUGUCUUGUUGCCCUCAAACUUACCAAAUUCACUGUUGUUCUUCGUGUUGCCUGUGAAGUAACGCGCUACCAAGACCACGAAAACUAGGAAUGCAACACCCAAGCCAAUCUUCGCCAUCAGCGGGGUUAGUUUACUUAGCCGCGCUUGUAAUGGUGUCUGCUGAUCACUGGUGUCACGGCUAAUCAAGCUCAUCAUUUCGCCCCACGUCGAGUUCAUGCCAACUGAAGCCACAAGCAAUUCACCAUAUCCAUCGACCACCUUGGUUCCUGAAAACAAGAACGGAUUCAGGCCGCCAUUAACUUCCACAUGCUCACUUUCCCCCGUCAUGCUUGAUUCGUCCACGCUCAACGAAUGUCCACGCAAGAACAAUCCAUCAGCAGGAACUUGAUCUCCAAUUUUCAAGAACACAACAUCUCCAACAACAAUACCAAGGUUCGAAAUCUGUCGCCGCCUACCUCCUCUCACAACAUCAAUUGGAAUGUCCUCACUUGCUUUGGACAACUUCCGGAACUGCUUGCUCUGCCUGUAGUCACUAAGGGCGGAUACAACCACGAUAAGAAAAACCGCGACAAAGAUGCUUCCUCCGUCAUACCAUCCUUCUUUUAGUCCAUGCUGCUUUAUGCCGAAUCCAAGUGAGAGCGCGGCGCAGCCUAAGAGGAUGACAAUGGUAAGAUCCUUAGAAGCUUGCCACAUAAAAUGGAAGAGGCUUUUUGAAGGCGGCUUCUUGUACGUGUUUGAACCGAAUGCUUCAAGCCGGCGAGCAAUAUUGUCACCAUCAUCGUCGAUGCCACGCUCAGUGUCGGUUUGGAGAGCCGAUACAACGCCAUCAAUGCCUUCGAGCUCUUGAAGAAGGUGUAGGUUUUUCUCCUUCAUGAGUUGAGUGAGGCAUUUGUUAUCAAUUUUGAAGCCAUUGUCGAGGUGACAAAGUUCCAUUGUAAGCUAAAGGCAGAGUUUGAAUGGUUGUGACAGAAUCAGCUAUCGAGAGUAUUAUGUACAGAAUCUCAGAGUCAUAGAACCACCUGAUGUCUUCAUCAGAACAGAAGAAAAGGAAAAAUAUCCAUUGGAAGUUGCUGAGAAAUUGCUUGAACUUAGCAGCUAGCGUUGGCGCUAUUUCUGACCUUAUCUGUAGGGUUGGUGAUUGGCGCACAACCAACAAGUCAUACCGCGACACACCCCACCUGCCUCGUCCAACAUCUAUGUAGAAUCAACCUUGCUUUUCCAACCGUGCCAUAUGCUUUCUUGUUUCUUUCAUUAGCUUUUUACAAGUUAGUGGAAGUUUCUUUUUGCUCCAAAUGGUUAAAUAUAAAUUUUACAUCCGUCAUCCGGGGUAGGCUUUAGCCAAUCAAAGCUAGAAAAUUGUCUUCUGAGUCAGACUCCCCACCGGCUGUUGUGCUUUCUUUUUAUUUUAUUUUUUAUUUUUAGUUUAAGUAUCAGUUAGAGAUAAUUAAGUUUAUAUUCCGCUAGGCAUUAGUACUUAAUUUUAUUUUUUAUUCUUAGCGUAAGAGUUAAUUAGAGAUUGUUAAAAAAGUGUCAGUUAGAGAUAAAUAAGUUUACAUUCUGCUAGUGCUUUAUUUUUAGUGUUGAGUGUCGUUAGAGAAAUAAAUUUAUAUUCUAUUAGUCUUCAUGCACAUGCUAACACAGAUGCAAUGGGCUAUGCCAUCCAAACCAAUUGAGGGAAGUCGCAUCGGUCUCAUCGCAAGCACCUACAAUGUCAUUAUAGAUAUAAAAUGUAGAAGAAUAUCGCUAUGCGUCACGAAUUAGAUGUCAGACACAAUUCAACUUUUUAUUAUUACGGGGGCUACUUGCCACUCAAACCAACUGAGAGAAGUCGCAACCGUCCCAUCGCAAGCACCUACAAUGUCAUUAUAGAUGUAGAAUGUAGAAGAAUCUCGACAUGCGUCACGAAUUAGAUGGCAGACACAAUUUGGCAUUUUUAUUAUUAUAGGGGCUACUUGCCACCCAAACCAACUGAGGGAAGUCGCAUUAGUCCCAUCGCAAUCACCUACAAUGUGAUUAUAGAUAUAAAAUGUAGAAGAAUCUCGCAAUACGUCAUGUAUUAGAAGGCAAAUACAGUUCGGCGUUUUUAUUAUUACAGGAGCUUCUUGCCCCUAAAUACUUUUUUGAAUCACACAUUAUGCACGACUUACAAAAACUUUCUUCGUCACACAUCUAGUAUGCAUUUGUAUUUGCAUAUUUUUGUUAAAACGUUAAACCAAAUGUAUAGUAAGGUAUUAAAUUUUCUAAUUUUGCAUACAUUAUUUCUCUUUACGAACCGUACACAUGAAAAGCCUUGUUUUUAUCACACAUGUCACGUUUGACUUGCAUACUUUUUUUUUUUUUUUACACUUUUGUCCUUGAAAAUGCUCUAGAACACAUCCUAUUUUUACCCUCGCUCAAACAUUGAUUUUGGCUUUUUUUUCCUAUUACACAUUGCAUAUGUUUUUAUUUUUCACUAGCCUCUCCACAUACGCUCACGUGCAUAUAAGAAGCUUUCUUUAAUCACGGGCGUUCGCGCCUCUUAAAAUAUGUUUUGUUAGCGGUUUUCUUUUUCAUAAUAUGUUAUAAAAAGAAAAAUAUACAUUGGAAGUUGCUAAGAAAUUGCUAGAACUUGGCGCUAAUAUUGACAGUAUCUAUAAGGAUGGUGAUUGGUGCCCACUCAACUGAAAUACUUAUUUUACCAUGUAAAUUCAGUUGCUUUAAUUGAUUUCUGAAUAAUUUAAAAAUGGAUGUGUUAAAUUGUGAAUUUCGGUUUCAAAAUCCGUAGCAGAGCGCAAGCAUUUUUAUCAGCUUUGUUUCUAAAGUACCCUUAAACUUUAACACACCACUCCCCUACACACCGAACGCCAAAUCCCCAUGCCUUGUCCAACGUCUAUGGAGAAUGAACCUUGCUUUUCCAACCUCCACCAUGUCAUGUUCUUCUUCCUUCCAUUAGACUUCUACAAGUUAUUGGAAGUGUCGCUUGGUCCAUUUAGUGCUUAGAGAUUUUGCAUACAAUCACCAACUCUGAUUAUUGUCUGUAAAAAGCUUAGUGUAGUUGUACAUGUUGCAUACAAUCAUCAGCUUUAUAUUUGCCUUCCUAUCUAUUGGUCUUUGAAAGACGCACAAUUCAAACUACACGAGAAUCGAAAUUUUUUUUGUUCUAAAAAAGUAUUAGAGUUGCAACUUAGUAUUACGAUCUAGUGACAGUUCUCUUCACUUGUAAAUGAAAGGUCUUGAGUUCAAUUCUCACCAAAGGCGAAUAUGAACCACAUUAUUAAUAACCUAUUGCGAGGCUUUGCCCACCCCCACUCCCUUAGUGUAAAUAAUAUUGUUUGUUAAUAUAUAUAUAUAUAUAUAUAGAGAGAGAGAGAGAGAGAGAGAGAGAGAGAGAGAGAGUUUGUGAGGGUGAAAAUAGAAAUAACUAGAAAUUUAGCCCGUGCGAUGCCAACUUGAUGUGUUAGAAUGGGUAACUAAAUGUGUGUAACUAUUGUGUGUAAAUAUGUACAAAGUAUUUAUACAAAACAUGUACAAAGUAUUUAUAAAAUGUACAUAAUAUUUGUUGACAACUCUACAUACAUAUAAAUAGUUGUUAAAAAUCUAGCUACUCCUAUUUCAUCGAUGUACAAAUUGAUGCUAGCACGAAACUCAUAAGAAAAAAAUGGAGGGAAGGAAAGAGGAAGAGGGAGCUUUACAGGCACCAAGAAAAGCAGAGACAAAACUUAAAUACCGAUGUCAAUCAAUGAAAGCUAAAUAAUCCCCAUCCUGAAGGUUUUAUAUAACAAAGCACCAAGAAAAUUUCAACACUAACUGUUUUUUCAUACAAAAAAAGAAACAAUGAAAUAAAUUUCCACAUUAGGCUUAUUUCAGAUAUUUAACAUCUUACUUUGAAAUUUCUUCCACGGAAUGAGACUACAGUGUUCAUUGACGACCAUUGUAAACAUAAGGUGGACAACUCUUUGACCAUGUCAUUAGACAAUUACAAAAGCUUACUUUCCAUGAGUUUGUAACUUACAAAAUUCCAAACUCAAUGUAUCAUUUGUGUCCUCAGCUUUCAUUGCAUAAUCACGUUUACAAUUGAAACAUUAACCAAAUCCAAAAAAAACAAAAAUGCGACUCUCUAUGGCUUUCUUAUAACACAAGAAUAUCUCUAAUUAGAGCAUGCCACACACCAACACAUUGCAAUUAUAUAAAGUAUUUUUCUCAGUGGCAAGUAUUAUACUCUCCUUUGGCCAAGAGGAUAUGAAAUUGGUUGAGUAUAUUGUUCUACCCAAUUGGAUCAAUAAGCUUAAGUUUGCACUGUACAAAACCAUAAGUACUCAAGACAUGAAAUCAAAUCUUGCACUUUACAAAUCACAUAUGGGCAAAAUAAUAGCUUUGAAGAAACUGAAAGAAGCAGAAGGCUUUAGAACACAAAUAUACUUGAGGUACCAAAAUAUGGUGCUGAGGAAGUGUUUUCUUCUUAUUUUGAGGGAAGAAGAACGCAGCUCUGAAUUUGGACCCAUUUUCUUAACCCAUGGUUCCUAUAACCCAUAAAUAAUUUUAGUGUCGUUCAAAUAACAAAUACCCCAGAUGAAUUGAAAAACUGCAGAGAUUAGUUUCAUGAAUACAUACUGAAGCCGAAAGCCAUAGUUAAUCUAAACAGAGGGUUUAUUUAAUCUAAAAAGAGGCAAAGACAUACAUACCAAUCCUCCGAAUGUUCUCUGCACAAUGUUCUGCUUCAAGAAUGUACGACGGCUUCCCCUGCAGUACAAACUCCCACCCAAAGCACAUGCCACCAUGCUCUUCCCUGAACAAACAAAAUAAAUUAUACACAAGUAAUGAGCAACUUUCUUUCGGCAUCAUAAUUAAUCUAUAGUGUUGUUCAAUAAUAUACUACCACCAUUUUAACACAAGUAUGAUUCUAAAUUACAUCUGUUCUUAUAAAAAAAAGUUUAUAUACAUAAAUUUCAAUAUGUCUGCUUACAAUUUUUAAAGGGAAUAGUGGUGAUAAGAUUAGGGAUAUGCUUUAGACAUCAACGCCUUAUGGAUAGCCCUUCUCAAUCCUUCAAGUGUAGUCUAGUCCUUCAUAUUAAGCAUGGCCUAAAUGCUGUAACAAUCCAAGAUAACUUGUAUGGAAAUGAAUUGACAAUGAAGGUGGGUUUUUGUCUUUUGGGUGAUCUCAUGAUGCAAACGUAUACUGGAGGAUAGGUAGCUAAAGCUAUUUAUGCUUCGUUCACUUUUUAGUAUCUAUUUGUAAAGUGCGAAGUUCUUACCUCAAAGUUUGCCUUAUAUGUGACAGCUUUCUCCAUGUAUGCACCAUUGAAAGUUGAACUACUGAAAUCAGAUUCCCUCAUAUCUGCUGAUGUUAAAUUGGCUCUUCUGCAUCAGUCAGUUACAUUGAUGUGAAAAUGCAGAUACUAAUGACAAAAUUAGUCUUGUUCUUUUCAAAUCAAAUACAUUAGCUUUAGCAGGUCGUUCAUUAUGGAGGGUAGCUGACAAAUGCAACAAAGAAAAACUACAAUUUGCGGAGAAAAAAAUUUAAUAAAAACCAAAAUUUUGAGGAAAGAAAAAUUGAAGUUUUUUUCUUAUGUGAGGAACCAUACCAGUAAUUUAUUCAAUCAAGGGUUUUUCUUUGAGCUAUACUCCCACUUUUCAACUGAGAAUGAAAUAACAAAGAAAACACACAAAAUAAAAGGCCUAAUUUCCAAAUUAUUUUUAAAAAAAUUAAAAAUUUAAUUUGAAUCAAACUGAAGAAAAUAGGUCAAAUUAAGUAAAUCCCAGUAAGUGGAAAAGUAUAUGGUGAGUGAUUAUUUACCUUGAAAACUCACAUAGUUUGGAAUGGAUCAUCAACAAUCUCUGGAGACUCCACUGGAUCCACUAUGAUAUCAUCCUGCAUGGUUCCACUACAAAUGGUAAUGCCAUUACGAAAUAACGCAAUUUUCUUUGGAUCAAGAACUUAAAACAAAAAGCAAUUUCAUAUUGUUCAACAAAAGUCAGAAAUCAAUAAUUCACACACAUUCACAGAUCUUCGUAACAAUUGGACAACUACAAUUUAAACUAAGCGCAUAAAAAAUUUCUUGGAAUUCAAUCGAAAUCAGCAGAAGAUAAAAAUUACGCAAAAGAAAUGCACAGUCCUGGCAUUGGAAUUGAAGUACCUGAAGUGGUGUAACUGGGCCCAGCGUCCACCAUUUCAAAAUCCCCAAAUCGGCUUUGAACUACAAAACCCAAAUAGAACAAAAACUAAGCAGAAUGAGUAGGAUUUAAAAUGUAGAAAACACCAAAUAAAAGAAGGUGGACCACCACUUGCGCAAAAACCAUAUUUGAGUGUUAACAUCGAGCAGUAAUAAACCCAACAAAGAAAUCAGUCAGGUAAAACUAACACUCAAUUCAAAUUUUCAAUUGAUUGUUUAAUUAUGUAAAUCUCACCUUCAAUUGUUUUAAAAUCACAAAAGUUGUUAACUAUGUCAUCUAAUAAUUUAAGAAAAUUUAAAAUGAACCCGAUUCACUCCAAAUGCUGAUAUUAUAUGUUCACAUAUAUACUUAUGUUGAUGCACAAAAUCAACGAGGACUUUGGUACAACAGAAAGUGUCAGGUUUGUGACCUUCGCUUGGUUGCUUCGAUCACUAGUGAAGAUAAGUACGUAAAUGAAUAGGGACAGGGAAGCAAACACAAGAUGUACGUGGUUCACCCAGAUCGGCUACGUCCAUGGGGUAGAGGAGUUCUCAUUAAUUGUGAAGGGUUUACACAAAUACAUAGGUUCAAGCUCUCAUUUUGUGAGUUCUAGUGAAUAGUUUAGUACAAAAUGACAUUAGAGAUUAUUGUGGGAGAAUGAUCCCUAUUUAUAGAAGAGAGUUUCUAGUUUUGUUUUGACAUUGACACGUGUCGUGUUGUGAUUGGCUUCUGAUAUUGACACGUGUCGCGCUGUGAUUGGCUUCUGAUGUCGACACGUGUCGCAUUGUGAUUGGCCUCCUAGUGGAAGGGAAGCUCUUCUGGGUCCUUGACAGUAUAACGUUGACCGGUGCUCAGUAGUUUCGGGAUUGGUCAAGUAUGGUACAAACAGUGCUCCCCUAAGUUCCCGAGUGAGGGAAGCUCCUCGGUUGGGGACUUGCAAGAUCCAAGCCGCUGAGUAAUCACGAAACUUCUAAGUACCGAGGUGUGGUAUCAUUUUCACUUGCCUUAUCUGUUUCAUAUGUAGAUGUGGCAUCUUCUCUGGAAGUACUUUUCCUCCAUCCAGGGAUGGUAUCUUUAACCGAUGAAGAUGCACAAGGUAAUGUAUCAAUUUCACUUGAAGCUUACUUGUAGUUUCGGGCUUGGUCAAGUGCGAUACAAACCUAUAGUAGGAGUCCACCAAGUUGCCGAGCUAGGAGAUCUGCCGAAAGAGGUGACAGACAAGGUAAGCAGUCAAACUUCCAAGCAAGCAACCCAGGAUCGGAAGUUCGACUUCGGCUUCUGGUUGAUUGUUCUCCUUCUCCUUGUCUCUCAUUCAACUGCCAGGAUAAGGAAAAGCAAAUGGAUAAGAGAUGAUAUGAGAUACUUUUGCUUUUGAAGAAGUAACUUUCCACAGGCUUAUUCUUGAACUGUGCUGGAGGGUUUUCUGGUUCCCUCUAGAGUAUAAGGCCGACUCAAGAAUUUGAGGGUCAAAACAAGUUCAUCAAAUCUAGAGUACAUUCGACCUUGAUGAUAUGGGAUACUUUUGCUGUUGACGGAAUAGUGAAUGUGGUAUGGAAAGGUGUCGUGUUGUAGUGAUCUGUUUCAGCUCACCGUUGAACCUUCUGCUUCAAUCUUUUGCAUGGCAAAAGUGGUGUGCAACCUUUGCAUUUAAAUGGUCAUUCAGAACAUUCCUUCAUAGUGACUCAUCCACGCUUGGCAGCUUCGGUGUAAAGAGCCAAUAUCUGAUCAACUGUCAUGAGGUAUUUGCCGGUGGAAUUCGUGACCUUGACAGCAGUUGAGGAUGAGUACUCGAGAGCAAUGCUAAAUAAGCAACCAGGCAAAGGUUCCAGGCAGUCAGUUCCAGAUUGGAGGUUUGAUUUCAGGUUCCGACUGACUGCUCUCUUUCUCCUUAUCCUGCAGGUGUGGACAAAGACAAAGACAAAGACAGGGAGAAAGCAUGAUAUGGGAUACUCUUGCUUUCGACCCUGAUGAUAUGAGAUACUCUUGUUCUUGGUGUGGCUUAUUUGCUGAGGUAUUAUUGGGGGGAAAUAAAGCUGAGUAUUUCGAGAGGUUAUGUUGAGGGUGCCUUCUCGAAUGCGAAAAAUGGUUGAGCAUUUUUGCAGGUUUGUCUGUCCGUGGAGGAGGGAGGUCGACAUAUAUAGGAAUUUCCCAAUAGCAAGUAGUAAUGUUAUUCCUUUACCCUUCUUGGUCACAGCAAUGUAGUGGGAGCUGCCAACUUCACGUGGUUUAACUUUGUCAUAGCACUUUGAAAAAGAUGUAUGUAGUAUCUGGAAAGCUGAUGUUGCGUGUGAAGAUUACAGACAAACUUUAUCUAAGGAAAUCUGGCUCUCGAAGUUCUGAGAGCUGUGCCUCUUCGGUUUUCGAACAAGCAAUCCUGUCGGGGAUCUGGCUCUCGAGAUUCGGAAAGCAGUGCCGCUUCGGCUUUUAAAAAAGUAAUUAUGUUGGGAGUCUUUUCUCGAAUGUGAGUAAAGGUUGGACGUUCUGCCAGUCUGUCUUGCCAUAGAACACGGAGGUCGACACACAUAGCGACUUUCCAGUUGUCAAGCAGUGGUGCUAUUCCUUUACUCUUGUAGGUAAUAGUAGGGUAGCUGGAACUUCGAAAUUCUCGUGCCUAAACUUUGUCAGAGAUCUUUGGCAAAGUUAUAUGUGGUACCUGAGGAAUUGAUGUUGCGUGUAGAGAGUGGUGAUUGAACAGUAAGAUUCACGUGCUUUCUACUUCACCAGAAAUCUUCGACAGAUUGCCCGUAAUUUCCGCAAAGCUGAGUAUGCAUGUGACAAGUGCUGACGAGGCUGAAAAAGCAGGUGCUUCUUCGAUUUCUGAGAUCGGCCCUCGUGGUCUCUGAGCAGCCCAGCUUUUAAGAAAGCAAGUGCCUCUUCGAUUUCUGAGAUCGGCCCUCGUGGUCUCUGAGCAGCCUAGCUUUUGAGAAAGCAAAUGCCUUUUCGAUUUAUGAAGCUCCGUCGAGUGCGGAUUUUUAUAGAGGCUGGUAUUAAGUUCCACAUCACAUUUGAAUCUCCACUAGUAGAAGCUCCCUUCUUGCACUUCUAAGAUCUUGAUUUGUCUGACCUCUUCCCUCUUCAACACCUUUGAAAAUGUCUGGCCCCUCCGACCGUCGUUUUGACUUGAACCUUGGAGAAGAGACAGCCACGCCUUCUCCAGACAACAUAUGGCGCCCAUCCUUCAUAUCCCCUACUGGUCCUCUUACCGUUGGGGAUUCUGUGAUGAAGAAUGAUAUGACCGCUGCGGUGGUUGCCAGGAACCUUCUCACUCCCAAAGAUAACAGACUACUUUCCAAACGGUCUGAUGAGUUGGCUGUUAAGGAUUCUCUGGCUCUUAGUGUUCAGUGUGCAGGUUCUGUGUCUAAUAUGGCCCAACACCUAUUUGCUAGAAUCCGCCAAGUUGAAUCAUUGGCUGCUGAAGUGAUGAGUCUCAAACAGGAGAUUAGAGGGCUCAAACAUGAGAAUAAACAGUUGCACCGGCUCGCACAUGACUAUGCUACAAACAUGAAGAUGAAGCUUGACCAGAUGAAGGAAUCUGAUGGUCAGGUUUUACAUGAUCAUCAGCGGUUUGUGGGUUUGUUCCAAAGGCAUUUAUUACCAUCGUCUUCUGGGGCUGUACCGUGUAAUGAAGCUCCAAAUGAUCAACCUCCGAUGCCUCCUCCUUCUGGGGUUCUGUCCAGUACUGAGGCUCCGGAUAACCACCCUCCGGUGCUUUCUCUUUCUGGGGCUCUACCGACUGCUGAGACUUCCCCUAAGCAACCUUUGUGAAGUCUCCCUCUUGUUUGUUUAUUUUGACUCAUGUAUAUGUACAUAUUUGUUUGGAAAUAUUAAUAAAUAAAUUUUUCUUCAUUUCAACGUAUUGUGUUAAAUACACCAAAUCCUUCUUCAGAAAGUUCUCUGAAUUUUUUCUUUUGUCGAAACUUGUAUUGUUGAAGCUUUGUGAGUGAAGCAUGUAGUUUGAGGUAGUAUUCCCUUAGUUUCCCGAGUGAGGAAAACUUCUCGGUUGGAGACUUGAAAAAUCCAAGUCACUGAGUGGUUGUGAGACUUCCGAGUAUCAAGGUACAGUAGCAUAUGGUGGGAGUCCCCCAAGUCUUCAGGCGAUGAGAGUUGCCGAAUGAGGUGUCUUGCUUGCUACUAAUUUGUCAAAGUAACGAAGCCUUGUUUUGAUAUCACACCUUCAUAUAUGCCUUAUCCAAAAAUAUUUCAAGCUGGUUUUAGUUUUGCGAGGGCCCAAAAUUAUUUGUGUAGCCCAAAAUGGCAAGCCCAAAGGGAGUCAGAGUAGAGGGAGCGGUAGCUCUUCAAUAUAACACCAUCAUCUGUAGCUCAAAUCGAAAAAUUGUCUUCAUGAAAAUUGUUCCUUAGCGUGUGAACUACAACAUACCCAAAUUUGAGAUCCAUCGGAGUAGUACAACUCUAGACAUUCAUGUAUGAUGAGUAACUGUUCAUGAUUUUUCUGUUAACCCGUCAGACUUGUUGUGAGCUUCGAAACUCCAUUUUCUCUUGUUCAGAUCAACAUACUUUCUUCAUCGAAGUUGUUCCUCAUCAUCUCUUCCAUAACAUAUCAAAAAUUCAGAACAAACUAACGGUUGAAUAUUUCUAGAUCUUCGAAACACCGCAGCAGCUUUGAAGCUUGCAGAAAUCUGACCGUCAUGUUUGGAGCUUCAACACUCUAACUUCCGUCGCUCAAAUAGAAACAUUUCCUUCGUGAAAGUUGUUCAUCUGCUCAAGAACUAUAAGAUGUCCAAAAUUCAGCUCCACUGGAAUUAGCUUCGCACUAUCUUGAUGAAGAGUGUGUGAAGCUUUUAUAUGUUUUGGUGUUGAAAUUUGGUAUUGUAGGUGAAGUUUUGGUGACACCAUAAAUUGAUUUUGCUUCACACUAUCUUGAUGAAGAUAGUGCGAAGAUUUUGAGAUUGAUAUUUGUCCUCCAUUGAUGAUGCUUUUGGUGGCACCAUAAAUUGAUUUUGCUUCACACUAUCUUGAUGAAGAUAGUGCGAAGCUUUUGAGAUUGAUAUUUGUCCUCCAUUGAUGAAGCUUUUGGUGGCACCAUAAAAUUGAUUUUGCUUCACACUAUCUUGAUGAAGAUAGUGCGAAGCUUUUGAGAUUGAUAUUUGUCCUCCAUUGAUGAAGCUUUUGUUGGCACCAUAAAUUGAUCUUGCUUCACACUGUCUUGAUGAAGAUAGUGCGAAGCUUUUGAGAUUGAUAUUUGUCCUCCAUUGAUGAAGCUUUUGGUGGCACCAUAAAUUGAUUUUGCUUCACACUAUCUUGAUGAAGAUAGUGCGAAGCUUUUGAGAUUGAUAUUUGUCCUCCAUUGAUGAAGCUUUUGUUGAAUUUCCCAAUUUCCAAUUUUUUUUUUUUGGGAAAACUAGAAAUUUGAAAAUGUGGGAGAGACAACGUAUACAAAUUUUGCUUCCACACUGUUGAGCGAGAGAUUGUGAUGCAAGCCACAUCUUGUAGUAGUCGAAGGUUUGAAUGAACCAUAUAAAUUGAAUUUUCUUCGAAACAGUCUUGAUCAAGAGCGUGUGAAGCUUUCUAUGAGUUGUAGUGUUUGCAUUGUUACAGAGGAGAAAUGUCUGAAGCAUAUGCAAGAGGGCUGAAGAGCUUGAUCUUCGUAUACCAUGCACUGAAGCCAUUGUUGGCUUGCAAUAAGACUUUGUUGGUGACUAUAGCUCUUGUUAGGCAUAAGUGCUCCCCUAGUUGAGUUGUAAAGCUUGAGGGUUUUUGAUUAUUUGUGAAUGCUAGGAGUUCACAUGUACAAGUUGUACCACUCGUCUUCUGGUUAGUGGAAUGAAUGGUGGGUUGCUUUCAUCACUUGGUUGGUGUACGAAUGUGAAUUCCUUAAUCACCUUUCAUCACAUUUCAUCACCUGGUUGGUGACAUGAAGGAGAGUACGUGUUGUACAUUUCAUCACCUGGUUGGUGGCAUGAAGGAGAGUACGCGUUGUACAUUUCAUCACCUGGUUGGUGGCAUGAAGAUGAGUUCAUUCUUCACCUGAUUGGUGAUAAGGGUGGCAAGUUUCCAAAUNGUAGAGGGAGCGGUAGCUCUUCAAAUAUAACACCAUCAUCUGUAGCUCAAAUCGAAAAAUUGUCUUCAUGAAAAUUGUUCCUUAGCGUGUGAACUACAACAUAUACCCAAAUUUGAGAUCCAUCGGAGUAGUACAACUCUAGACAUUCAUGUAUGAUGAGUAACUGUUCAUGAUUUUUCUGUUAACCGUCAGACUUGUUGUGAGCUUCGAAACUCCAUUUUCUCUUGUUCAGAUCAACAUACUUUCUUCAUCGAAGUUGUUCCUCAUCAUCUCUUCCAUAACAUAUCAAAAAUUCAGAACAAACUAACGGUUGAAUAUUUCUAGAUCUUCGAAACACCGCAGCAGCUUUGAAGCUUGCAGAAAUCUGACCGUCAUGUUUGGAGCUUCAACACUCUAACUUCCGUCGCUCAAAUAGAAACAUUUCCUUCGUGAAAGUUGUUCAUCUGCUCAAGAACUAUAAGAUGUCCAAAAUUCAGCUCCACUGGAAUUAGCUUCGCACUAUCUUGAUGAAGAGUGUGUGAAGCUUUUAUAUGUUUUUUGGUGUUGAAAUUUGGUAUUGUAGGUGAAGUUUUGGUGACAACCAUAAAUUGAUUUUGCUUCACACUAUCUUGAUGAAGAUAGUGCGAAGAUUUUGAGAUUGAUAUUUGUCCUCCAUUGAUGAUGCUUUUUGGUGGCACCAUAAAAUUGAUUUUGCUUCACACUAUCUUGAUGAAGAUAGUGCGAAGCUUUUGAGAUUGAUAUUUGUCCUCCAUUGAUGAAGCUUUUGGUGGCACCAUAAAAUUGAUUUUGCUUCACACUAUCUUGAUGAAGAUAGUGCGAAGCUUUUGAGAUUGAUAUUUGUCCUCCAUUGAUGAAGCUUUUGUUGGCACCAUAAAUUGAUCUUGCUUCACACUGUCUUGAUGAAGAUAGUGCGAAGCUUUUGAGAUUGAUAUUUGUCCUCCAUUGAUGAAGCUUUUGGUGGCACCAUAAAUUGAUUUUGCUUCACACUAUCUUGAUGAAGAUAGUGCGAAGCUUUUGAGAUUGAUAUUUGUCCUCCAUUGAUGAAGCUUUUGUUGAAUUUCCCAAUUUCCAAUUUUUUUUUUUUUGGGAAAACUAGAAAUUUGAAAAUGUGGGAGAGACAACGUAUACAAAUUUUGCUUCCACACUGUUGAGCGAGAGAUUGUGAUGCAAGCCACAUCUUGUAGUAGUCGAAGGUUUGAAUGAACCAUAUAAAUUGAAUUUUCUUCGAACAGUCUUGAUCAAGAGCGUGUGAAGCUUUCUAUGAGUUGUAGUGUUUGCAUUGUUACAGAGGAGAAAUGUCUGAAGCAUAUGCAAGAGGGCUGAAGAGCUUGAUCUUCGUAUACCAUGCACUGAAGCCAUUGUUGGCUUGCAAUAAGACUUUGUUGGUGACUAUAGCUCUUGUUAGGCAUAAGUGCUCCCCUAGUUGAGUUGUAAAGCUUGAGGGUUUUUGAUUAUUUGUGAAUGCUAGGAGUUCACAUGUACAAGUUGUACCACUCGUCUUCUGGUUAGUGGAAUGAAUGGUGGGUUGCUUUCAUCACUUGGUUGGUGGUACGAAUGUGAAUUCCUUAAUCACCUUUCAUCACAUUUCAUCACCUGGUUGGUGACAUGAAGGAGAGUACGUGUUGUACAUUUCAUCACCUGGUUGGUGGCAUGAAGGAGAGUACGCGUUGUACAUUUCAUCACCUGGUUGGUGGCAUGAAGAUGAGUUCAUUCUUCACCUGAUUGGUGAUAAGGGUGGCAAGUUUCCAAAUAAUAUUAGAGUACGGGUUGUACAUUUCAUCACCUAGUUGGUGGCACGAAGGUGAGUUCCUUCAUCACCUAGUUGGUGAGAAUAAGGGCAAUGUGUCGAGGCACAUUGUGGCAAAUGUCGAAUGACACAAAGUGUGUUGAACCCUUUCGAAGCACAGUUGGCUUAUGUAUGGAUGUGUUGGAAUGUAUGAUGUUUAUGUAUGAAUGUGUUGGAAUGUAUGAUGUUUAUGUAUGAAUGUGUUGGAAUGUAUGAUGUAGAUCCUUUGUAUAGUCUUGUUGACACAUACUUAGAUUUUGUUUUGUAUUGGAAACAUUUGCGUUGAAGCUUCAACACUUGAGUGUUUCAUUGAUCAGAAUGUAAAAGAGUUUAGGGCCGAGUUGGCUAAAUCACAUCUUUAUUGAAUUCAAACCAAAUGGUCUUUGUUACAUAGGAUGCCGAACGGCUGUAGCUUAACACUUGUACAAUGUGAGUCUAUUUGUAAUACUUCAAGUGGUCAGCAUUCCAUGGAUGGCCAAGGGUCUUGCCGUCGGAGCUUCUGAGCUUGUAGGAGCCAGGGCGGCUGAUGCCGAUGACCUCGAAUGGUCCAUCCCAGUUAGGACUGAGUGUUCCUUCACUCGGGACUCUAUCAUAGAGUAAUCUUUUCUUCAGUACCCAGUCUCCCACUUUGAAAGAGCGAGGUUUGACCCUUGAGUCAUAGUAGUUGGAAAUGCGCUGCUUGUAGGCGACAUUCCUCAGGUGAGCCUGAUUUCUGUGUUCCUCGACUAGAUCCAGGUUGAGGGUGAGUUGUUUGUCGUUCUCACUCUGCAUGUAGUUUUGGAUUUGGUAUGUUGCUUGCUCAAGCUCAACCGGGACAACUGCUUCUGUACCAAAAGCAAGUGAGAAUGGAGUUUCUCCUGUGGAAGUUCGAUAUGAAGUGCGGUAUGACCAAAGAACUUAGGGGACGAAUUCUGGCCAACAACCUUUAGCUUUGUCCAAGCUAGUUUUCAGAGUGUGCUUGAUUAUUUUGUUAACGGCCUCGACUUGUCCAUUAGACUGGGGAUGGGUUGGAGAGGCAAAACAUAAGUUGAUGUUGAACUUAUAGUAGAACAUCCUGAACUUCUUGUUGUCGAACUGCCGCCCAUUGUCCGUGACUAUCGCAUUGGGAAUGCCGAAUCUGCAUAGAAUGUUCUUCCAUACGAAGUCUUCUAUUUUUGCCUCAGUAAUGGUUGCCAAGGGUUCUACUUCAGCCCACUUUGUGAAGUAGUCAACUGCAACGAUUGCAUAGCGGACCUUGCCCUUCCCUGCAGGCAUUGGGCUGAUCAAAUCAAGUCCCCAUUGGGCGAAGGGCCAAGGGCUGAUCAUAGGAGUGAGUGGCUCGGGAAGGGUAGUGAGGGAUAGUUGCGUAGCGUUGACACUUAUCACACGAGCGAGAUAUUCUAAUGGCAUCUUGGUGGUAGGGGUGGGCGCGGUGCGGUUUGGUGCGGUUUCGAAUGAAACCACAACCGAAACCGAAACAUUUUGCGGUGCGGUGCGGUGCGGUUUUGAAGCCAAAACCGAAAUGAAACCAAACUGUUCGGUUCGGUGCGGUGCGGUUUCAAACGGUUUCGGUUUGGUUUUUUAGCAAAAAAAUGUACAAUUUAAAAUAUACACCUAUUUAUGCAUAAGACGGUCUUAUUUUUCUCGUAUAUUAAUUAAUAAAUAUGCAGUAAAAUUGUAGCAAAACUGCAUAAAAAACAGCAGCAAAAACUGCACAAAACUGCACCAAAAAAUAAUGCAGCAAAACUGCAUAAAAAAACAGCACCAAAACAGCCCCAAAACUGCACCAAAAAACUGCACAAACAGAACCAAAAAUCUGCACCAAAAGUGCAGCUAACUUGUACCAAACUUGUACCAAAACUGUAACAAAUGACAAUUACUAAAAUUGAGACAACAUCCAAUGCAUUAAAGGAUUUAAACUUUAAAUCCUUAUGCAUGACAUCUACUAAAAUUGAACUUGAUCACCAAUCACAAAACCAAACCGUUUGGUGCGGUUUGAUUCGAUUCGUGUUUCGGUUUCGGUUUUCGGUUCCAAGUGCCCACCCCUACUUGGUGGAGUGUUGGCCAAUAGUAUCCUUGGCGAAAAGUCUUGUGUGCUAGGGAUCGAGACCCAGCAUGAUCUCCACAGACUCCUUCAUGUAUUUCCCAAAGGACACUUUCCGCCUCAACAGGUGUAAGGCAUCUUAGGUAUGGCAGGGUGAAACCGCACUUGUAGAGUUGGUCAUUAAUGAUCAGGUAGCGGGCAGACUUGUAUCGAAUCUGCUUAGCUUGGACUUUGUCAAUUGGGAGGGUGCCAUGAGCAAGGAAUUUAUAAAUUGGGGUGAUCCAACUAUCUUCUUGUUGUAAAUUGCACACCUCAGCGACCAUGGUGCUUGGUGCUGCCAACAAUUCGACAUGAAUUUUUCUCCCAAUCUUGUCUUCCACUGCCAAGGCGAGGCGAGCCAAAGCAUCUGCAUGACUGUUUGCUGCUCGAGGAACUUGGGUGAUCUGGUAGUGGAAGUGCUUGAGCAAAAGUCGUGUUUGCGCAAGAUAUGCUGCCAUAGAGCUAUCCUUAGCAUCAAAGUUGUUCGUGACUUGGUUGACCACUAAUUGGGAGUCACUGAAGAUAUCAAUUCGUUUAACCCCGAGGUGUUUGGCCAAACGUAAGCCUGCUAGAAGGGCUUCGUAUUCGGCCUCGUUGUUCGAUGCCUUGAAUUUGAAACGAAUAGUGUAUUCCAUCGUCACUUUGUCGGGGGUAGUGAAGACUAAUCCUGCUCCGCAGCCCUGUUAGUUGGAUGAGCCAUCAACAUACAGACUCCAUGCUGGGGUUGUUGAUUCUAUCUUCUGAGCUUCCGAUGGUAAUGAAGCUACUGCUUCAGGUGUAGAAGCAAUGUCAACAGGAUAUGUGAAGUCGGCUAUGAAAUCUGCUACAGCCUGACCUUUUUCGGCUGGUUUUGGUUGGUAGGAGAUGUCAAACUCACCCAAUGCUAUCGCCCAUUUGAUCAUUCGCCCAGACGUGUCAGGACUCUGGAGUAUCUGUCGAAUAGGGUGAUUGGUAAGCACGAUGAUGGCGUGUGCUUGGAAAUAAGGGCAAAGUUUUCGAGCAGACAUGACCAAUGCUAGAGCUAAUUUCUCAAUGUUGGAGUAUCGUGUCUCCGCAUCUUGUAGGGCCUUGCUAGCGUAGUAGACGGGCCUUUCGACACCACUGUCCUUUCGAAUAAGAACAGAACUGACUGCUGAAGCCGAAACCGAUAGAUAGAUAAUGAGAGUGUCACCAAUUUUUGGUUUGGAGAGCAGAGGGGAUUUACUCAUGUACUCUUUGAGGUUCCUGAAUGCCUUGGCACAUUCCUCCGUCCAUGUAAUGUACUUCUUAUUUCCCUUGAGUGCUUUAAAGAAAGGAGCACAUCUAUCUGUGGCCGUAGAGAUGAAUCUGGUUAAGGCUGCCACCUUGCCAGUAAGGCUUUGGAUGUCUUUUGAAGUUACUGGCUCUUUCAUGUCGAGGAUUGCUUUGAUAUUUUCGGGGUUAGCUUCAAUGCCUCGUUGGCUGAUCAUGAAGCCUAAGAAUUUGCCAGAGCCCACGCUAAAGGCACAUUUGUUGGGGUUCAACCUCAUUCGAUACCUCUUUAGAAUGGUGAAAGUUUCAGAUAGGUUGGUGAUGUGUUGGUCAACAUGUUUGCUCUUGACUAGCAUAUCAUCAACGUAAACUUCCAUGCUCUUCCCAAUCUGUUCGGCGAACAUUGAAUUGACCAGUCUCUGAUGAGUUGCUCCUGCAUUCUUUAGGCCGAAAGGCAUGACUUUAUAGCAAUAUAGUCCCUUGUCAGUAGUGAAGGCCGUGUGUUCUUGGUCUGAGGGGUUCAUGAGGAUUUGGUUAUAUCCUGAAUAAGCGUCCAUGAAGCUCAAGAGCUCACACCCUGCCGUAGAGUUUAUAAGUCUAUCAAUGAGAGGAAGAGGGAAACUAUCCUUCGGGCAUCCUUUGUUUAGGUCGGUGUAGUCGACACACAUUCUCCACAAGACCUUUUGAAGCAGGAGACUUUCCUUGGUCGGAUUUUUCUUAACAAGGACAACAUUUGCUACCCAUGUUGGGUAAUUAACUUCACGGACGAAGCCUAUGUCCUUGAGUUUUUCGACUUCUGCUUUCAUCGCCUCAUAUCGUUCAACAUCAUAAGAUCUUCGCUUCUGUUUUACUGGUUUGGUCUUGGGAUCAAUACUCAAGUGGUGACAAAUGAUAUCGGGAGAGAUGCCCGGCAUAUCUUUAUAUAACCAAGCGAAGACCUCGACGUUCUCUUGUAAAAAUGAGAUCAGCGACAACCGAAGGGGUGGUGACAAAGUUGUGCCAAUCUUCACCAUGCGAUCUAGAUGGUCUUUGGAGAUAGAGACAUUCUCUAACUCUUCAGCGGGUUGUGCUUGUUGGGUGAAUGAGUCAUCUCGAGGGUCGUCGGGUUGACUGUUGCUAUCAUGAAAAUCCGAGUUGGCUUCAUCUUGACUGGUAUUUACUACCUGGUUAUGUACAGAGAAGGUCUCCUUGGGGAAAUGCAGGUGUUGUUGCUUAACUGAAGUGUUGUAACAUGAUCGAGCACUAAGUUGAUCUCCCCUGAUGUAUCCAUUUCCGAAAGGGGUUGGAAACUUCAUCAACAACAUAUGUGUGGAUACCAUGGCCUUGAGAUCAUUGAUGCCUGUGCGCCCAAAGAUGACAUUGUAUGCCGUCGGGCAAUUGACCACUAGGAAGUUAGUGGUAAUAGUAGCUGUGUAGGGUCAUGUACCAAUGGUGAGGGGUAAGUGUAUACUCCCUAAAGGUUGUACGAUAUCGCCAGAGAAGCUUAUCAGAGGAGAAAUCGAGCGAUCGAGCAAGUGUUCAGCUACAUUAAGUGCCUUGAAAGCUUCAGCAAACAUGAUAUUGACUGAAGCGCCUGUGUCUAUCAGGAUUCGUUUCACAUCAAAAUUUGCUAUGUGAGCCUCCACGAUCAGCGGGUCGUUGUGAGGGUAUAUGAUACCUCUUUCUUCCUCAGGGUAGAAACAUAUUGGAUCCCAGUUAGGCUUUUGAUACUUGUCUCCCCUGAUGUCUUCCACGUGAAACACUUGAUGGCCAAGUCUCAAAGUUCGUUCACUGUUUUUCAUGGCCCUAUUGGAAGAUUCAGACAUGGGUGUGCUGCCGCUUAUGGAAUAUAUCACAUUCACCUGGCGUUGGUUACGGUUAUCCCUUGGAGGGUGAAGGAGGAACUGAUCAAUUUUUCCGUCACGUGCCAAAGCUUCAAUAUGAUCACGGAGGAUGAUGCACUUCUCGCCAUCAUGGCCAUUAUACUCGUGGUAGCAACAAAACACGCCCGUGUUCUUCGUGGACUUGUAAUCUGGUUGUCUUGGCUUUGGCUUUGGUAUCAGGUGAGCUAUACUGGGGUAGAUGGACGCGCAUGUAGCGUUCAAAGGUGUGUAUGUCUCAUACCUCGGGGUAGGGCCUAUCUUGGCACGUGAUUGGUCCACUGCGUUGACUGCCUGGGGACGGGCGUUAUUGUGACGAUAUCCUGAGUUAUCGCGAUAGUGCCCCUUAUUCUUUUUAUUAAAAUGAGAUUGGUGAGGAUGGAAAUCUUUCCUUUUGCCCUGGGAUUGAUAUGUCUGCUGACUUGGCGAAGCAUUAAAUGAGGCAGGGGGUGUGCUGCUACCGUUUGGAAGGUUGAGGUCUUCUCAUUUGGUUGGAUCUGGCCUCCACUCCCUACUUGCUGAUAAGGGGUGACUGUAGGGGGUUUCCCUUGAUAUGUCCUUGCCUCGGCGGAGGCAUGGUUGUAAGCUUGUGUCAUCACCUCAUAGUAAGUCUUCCAUGUGUUGGCGUUGAUCAUGUACUUGAAGAAACAGUCACGUAAGCCUGCCGUGAAGGCCUUAAGGGUGGUCUUGUCAUCUGCCUCAGAGCAGCGAGAAUACUCAUGGCUGAAGUGGCCAGCAUACUUUCGUAAUGACUCGUCCGGCUUCUGGCGAAUAGUGUACAAGUCAUCUGUAGAAUGCAAGCGAUCAGUCUGGAAGAUGUGUUGAGAGACAAACAGCUUCCUCAACUCUUCAAAUGAGUCUAUUGUCUCAGGUAGAAGACGGCAAUACCAGUUUAAAGCUCCGCCAGAGAGGGUGGAGGGGAAGAGAAGGCACCGUUCUUCGUCGGUGUGUCUCCGGUAUACCAUGGUGGACUCAAAGAGGUUAAGGUGUUCAAUCGGGUCUUCCCUUCCAGUAUAGAGUUGUAAGUCAAGCUUCUGCUUUGUCUUCGCUUGGAGAGGGGUGUUGAAGAUCCUUCUUGUGAGGGGGCCAGGCCUGGGUUGGUUCCAGUCAGGUAUCUCGGCUUGAUGUUCAGCCUUCAACUUGUUUACUUCAUCCAGGAGCUGUAGGAUAAGGGGGUCCUGAGUGGAGUCGUGCACCACUGAAGUUUUCUUCCGUAAGUCCCCAUCGCCUCUUGUAAGUAGGAAAGUUUGAUCAAGAUAGUGUGAUUUUUCCUUGGACUCAUCACAAUGACUCCUAGAGUAAGUAUGUCGAAAUAUUUCCGAGUCCCCUGUACCUUCAUGUUCUUCUGGGACUUGUUGCCCAUUCCCUAGAUUGGCUACUGGCCUGGGUCGUGGAAGAGGACCGAGUCUUUCAGAAACUCUUGGGUCAUUGAUCUUCGAGCUUAUGUGGAUAAGAUUCUCUCGACGUUGCUUUAGGAAGUCUCGACAAUCGCGAUAGACGGCUUUUGAUCCUUCCACUCCUUCUGUGAAGAGGUGCUUUCCUCUACUUUUUCUGCUUCGGGUUGAAGCAGAUGGGUUGAAAGAAGUCUCAUGUUGAUUAUGACCUCGAUGUGUAGCUCGAUCCCUAUCAGGGAUGUCCGUGUUGGAUAUCGGUGACCCUCCGUGUUGGGGGGCAUUCAGAUGAUUGUUGACCUCAACAAGGGCAACGAGCUUAUGUGUUUGAGCAUGCCUAGCCUCGUGAAGCAUCUCGAAAAGUUUUUCAUAUUGUUCUUGGAGGACCUCAUUCUUCAUCGCCAUCUUGUUAUUCUGAACCUCUAGCUCAUCGACUUUAGCUUGAAGAGUAACUCUAUUUCCUUCCUGCUUUCGUUGCUUCAUACUAGGUCCAAGGGGGGUGUCAUUCUGUGUGCUAUGGCUUCUUUCGCUCCCCAUGUCGGAGAGAGAUGUUUGGCCAAAAGAGAGUGUACGAGCGGUGGAAACCAGCUUGACAAAGCUGAAGAGAGUGGGAAUAAGUGUCGUUCCCACAGACGGCGCCAAAUGUUGAUGCACAAAAUCAGCGAGGACUUUGGUACAACAGAAAGUGUCAGGUUUGUGACCUUCGCUUGGUUGCUUCGAUCACUAGUGAAGAUAAGUACGUAAAUGAAUAGGGACAGGGAAGCAAACACAAGAUGUACGUGGUUCACCCAGAUCGGCUACGUCCACGGGGUAGAGGAGUUCUCAUUAAUUGUGAAUGGUUUACACAAAUACAUAGGUUCAAGCUCUCAUUUUGUGAGUUCUAGUGAAUAGUUUAGUACAAAAUGACAUUAGAGAUUAUUGUGGGAGAAUGAUCCCUAUUUAUAGAAGAGAGUUUCUAGUUUUGUUUUGACAUUGACACGUGUCGUGUUGUGAUUGGCUUCUGAUAUUGACACGUGUCGCGCUGUGAUUGGCUUCUGAUGUCGACACGUGUCGCAUUGUGAUUGGCCUCCUAGUGGAAGGGAAGCUAUUCUGGGUCCUUGACGGUAUAACGUUGACCGGUGCUCAGUAGUUUCGGGAUUGGUCAAGUAUGGUACAAACAACUUACAACAACAAAAAAUUCUGUUUUGAGCCCCUAGGAUCAAAAGAAAAACAAAAAACACUAAUUCCAAUGCCUAGAUAUAUAAACAUCGCAUAAAACACUCAUUUGCAAAUGAGGGGCACACUCAUAUAAAGCUAUAUGUUUAUAUGGGUAGCAAAUAAGCAGUACAGAUGCAGACACAUCUAUAAAGCUAAAUCAGAUCGAUUUCAUAAUCAUAUUUUGCUCAAGCUUUUAUCAAGGGAGACAUGCAAAAUCAUACAGAAACAUCCAUUAGUAAACUGGACAAUUUCAAUAUAUAUGGAAGCAUGCAUGAAAUCACAGAGAGAAAAUAAUAAUACAACUUUACCUUUGAAGUGUUAUUGCGUCAGGAUUUGGGAUGGAGAUCCGACAUGCACACAUUUGGGAUGAGAGAAAUGGGGAUUAAACCCAGAAGGCGGGAUUUUCCGAAGAGCAAGGAAGAAGAAGAGGAGAAAUAGGGGGGUGUUUAAAUGGGGAGAAGAAGAGAAGCGAGCUUCCCUCCAUAGUUGAGGUUCAAGCCCGUGGGAGAGGAGUUGUGUGAAGCCAAAAAUAUUCACAAGACGACACAUGGAUUUUUGACAAAAGAAGACAAAACUACCCUUGAGGCAUACUGGGAUUCCUACGCGCAAGCAGCGGGCAAUUAUCUCUCAACCAAGUCAAAAGUGCCCAAAAUAGGUAUCAACUUAAAACCUAAUUUAUUCAUAUAUGUCCUAUUUCAUUAUUUAGCUAAUCAAUUAGCUAAAUACUAUACUUAUUCCAUAAUUCCUAAAACAUUCCUUCUAAAAUAAUGAUAAAUAGCUAAUUAAUGGGUUAAUUAGCUAAUUAUUCCCUUAAUUAGCAUUUAGACCAUUCACUUUACCCUAACUCCCACAAAAAGGCCGGUUAACUUUCAUCCCCAAAAGAAAUCAGCCUUUCCUUCUACCUUUUUUCCUUUGUAUGACAAAUAAUUAGCCAAGUUAAUUAGGGAGUUAUUGGCUAAUUAUUUUGUUACUCCUAAUUAAACCUAAAUUAAACCCAAAAAACCCUAGCCACCUCCUAUCCCUAUAAAUAUACUCUCAUUCUCACCAAAAAGCCAAUUCCAACACUUUGGCAAAAAUCCCAAAAUUCUUUAAACACUCUUUUUCUCUAAAUUCUAACUUUGGCAUCGGAGGUUCUUCGGCCAAAGCCCCCCCAUUCAUUGUGGGCGCGUGAGGCUCUUGGCCUUGACCUAAGGUGUUAAUUGUUUUGUAGGUGCAAUUUUGUCCAAGAAGAAGAAGGCGGAAAUUUGCAUCCACAAGUUGCAGAGAGAAACUCUGUUCAGCUAGUACUAAUUCAAUUUACAGAAAAGGGGAUUAGGGUUUUUUGGAAUCAGAAAGGGAUAGACAGCCUAUGUUGUGGUUCGUGUAAAAUCGAGAGAGAGAACUGGAGUUCGUAGCAAAUGGAGGACUAUUGGAAGCAAAUGAAAAGCUAAGCUUUGUGAGAGAAAGAAGUGGAAGCGGAAGGAAAAUUCAAGAUGCAGUGGAAGGGGAGCAAUCGACGAUGGUCGACACGUGGGCAGCAUGGACAAAUACGUAAAUUCAUUGUGCCAAGGACGGGGAACAGAGAAGAAAAUAAGGGCAUUUCUGUCAUUUCACUAUUUAUAAACAGUGCAAACGGUGCCAAAUAACAGCGUUUUAGUAUGUGUAUAAUGUAAUAUAUCCUAUUUUGUCUUUUUACAAAAUUAAAAUUUAUAAAAGUAAAUAAAUUUGUCAAGUAUUCUGAACCACAUUAUUGAUAACCUAUUGUGAGGCUUUACCCAUCCCCACCCCUUAGUGUAAAUAAUAUUAUUUGUUAAAUAUAUAGAUAUAUAGAUAUAUAUAUAUAUAUAUAUAUAUAUAUUGUUGUAGCCCAUAUUUAAUUGAGGGGUGCGGCAUAGAGAGAAAGAGAGUGAAGAAUAGGCUUGAGGAAUUGUGUGUUAAUUCCCCAGUCAUUGUGCCUUUAUUAAUAGUAAUAAGGAGGAAAGAAACUUGCUCUCCAAGUAAUACAAAGUCUAUUAGGAAAGAUCUUCUAGAUCCCAAAGGAUUCAUAAUCUAUCUCUACUUAGGAUUUACACAAUCACAAUAUGUAUUAGAACAUAUGUCACAUCACUCCCCAUUGAGUGUGCAAAUACUCAAGUAGAUGGUGCAUCAGAUCUUCAGGCAAAUGUAGAAGCAGCUGAUGAAAUCAUCUCGUCUAGUUGGCACAAAUAACGAAUGUGAGUCUUAAAAAAAAUAGAAGAAUGCAUGGGUGGUAAAACUCACAAAACCUCGUUAUAACAAAACCCAAGGUGGGACAAAAAUCCAUAGUCAAAGGAGAAAGGUGAGAAGUUGCAUUAAGUCAAAAUUAUACGUCUUCGGGAUGCAAGUAGAACGUACACAAGAGUAUGACUAACCCAAGAUGGGUGCCUCAUCAAAACCUAAUCAGGUAGCAAAAGCUCAGUGGGAAUAAUGCUCCUAAGCGUAGGAAAAAAGAAUACAUUAAGGUCACGUGAGUAUACUUCUGGAUACUCUCUCUGAGUUUAACAGAACUUCCAAAUGAGAACUAUAAGCAUUGUAUAUGAAUAGUUAGGCAUACCAAUUCCUUGGACAAGCUUCUGGAAGGUAGACUUUGAUAAUGACGUCGUGCAAAGGUAGGCAAGGUUUAUGCCUAGCAGUUUCUGACACGAUCCGUUAACCUGACACGAUACAACACGAAAUUAACAGGUUUUCGGGUCGACACAAUAACUAAUCAAGUCGUUAUCGGGUAACCUGAUAACCACCUGUUAAGAUAAUGGGUUGGUCCGGGUGUACACGUGGGUAACACGAUACACGAUAAGCAAAAUAUUAAUUUAAUAAUUUUAUACCCCUAAAAAAUAAUAUAAUAAUUAUAUUUAUUAUAUUAAUUUAAUAAUUUUAUACCCCUAAAAAUACUAUAACAAUUAUAUAUAUAUAUAUAUAUAUAUAUAUAUAUAUAUAUAUUAUAUUAUAUUAAAUUUAGAAAAUUGAUGAUCAUUGGAUCGAUUGAGAUUUAAUCUCAACCGUCCAUUGUACAUUAGGUUGGAGCCUAGAUUAUCCUUCUCUUUCAUUCACUCUCGAUCUCUCAAGACUUUCAACACUUUGCGCCGCUCUCCUUGAAUUCGCUCAUCUCUCUUGCAUCCUCCUCCGUCCACUUUCUUGUACUCAACUCCGGUAGCUACAAGAAAACCACACACAGUCAAGCACACACUAAAGGUAUGAAUUUUGUAAAAGGUAUAACAUGCAAGCUUUGAGUUUCAUUGGUAAGGUUUUAACUUUUGAGAAAGGCUUCACAGCCUUGAAAAUAAAAACUCUUUCAUUUUGCAUAUCCUUGCACAUUUUAUAUUUUGUAGUAGACUAGUAGUGUAUUGAUACUUUUUUAUUAUGCUCUUGUUUUGGAGUGUAGAUGUAGUACAUAACGACAAAUGUGUUUUAAAUUUUUGAAGUAAUAUUUAUGUGGCAAUGUGGUAUGUACAAAUUUAAAAAAAAAAUCUUAAUGGGUCAGGUCAUUUUACUUGUUGGGUAAAGUGGCCCGGCCUGUUAAGGACCCGUUAAGGUAACGGGUGUGACACGGCACAACCCAUUAAGAUAACAGGUGUUACAGGAAAACGACACGAACACGACAGACACAACCCGUUUGCCAAGCCUAGCAAGGUUGUCUAGAUCAGACUGUUUAACUUCAAUCUUGUGAUGCUUAUGCUGAUGUAGACAAAAUAUGCUUGGCAUUGACUUAUUGGAUGUAUCAUGAUCUGUUCAAUACACACAGCGUUGUCUUCAUGGAUCGUUGUUGGGAGUUAACGAUGGAUGAAAAUCACAUAGAGUUCAAAUGUGUUCACGUUAUGAGAUAUAGUGAGUCUUGGAACAAUUCAAAGGUUUCGCAACUAAAGGUCUAUAUCACGGACCUCUAAGAUAUUGCGGUGUUCCUUAACGGUAAAGACAUAACCAUUUGGGAACGUACCUUGUGUGGUUAGAUAGAUAAUCUGAUUUAACGAAUCCCACAAGGUAGGCAUCAUUCUGAAGAUCAUGGGGAUGUGAUCUAUUUUGAGAUGCAUAGGGAUAGAUAAGCCCAAAUCCGUAGUAAUGGAAAAACGUCUUUAACACCAAUUUGGUGAUGGCGUGUAGGUGCAGUGCUGUUUUAUGCCAUAAGAUUAUCAGCAUAUAAAAUGUCUGAUCUAGUCCAUUUGAGCUAAGUACAAUGAACGCCAAUGGUACUUAUAUAUGGUUGCCUCACGUUCCAAUAUGGAACCUUAUGUUUCAUACCCUUCGUAAAGUUCUCAUUUACAUAUAGCGUACAAAUGAUCAUGGUAUAAUCAGAUGUAACACAUUCUGGGUCUAGUUCGACUGGUGGACUAGAAUACCAUUAGAACUAGCUCGAAACUUCAAGUCGAGGUAAUGUCGAGUUUCCCCUAGAUCAUUUAUCUUAAAGUUCGACUUUAGGUGUGAGUCAGUUUUUUCAACUCUAGCAAUUUUGGAUAUUGUACAUGUAGGGCAUAUAUCCUUAACUGAUCAAAUAUUCACUUAGACGGGUAUACCACAUCCGCCCGGAUAGUUCUGCAUUAGUAAAAUGAAGGCAUCAUCAAAACCGAGAGGGUGUUCUUGUGGUCCAGAACUAUUUAAAUCAAUACAUGUAAGUACUUUGGAAACUCCAUGUAGGUUUCGUAUCAGGAUCCCAGAUAUACUACAACCACGUUAGUCAUGCUGCAAUCAAUCACAUGGUGUAUGAGAGAAGCCUUGCGCCACAAGACAUAAUAUUGCACUAUUUCAUUCAUCUCAUUUGUCAUGGAUUGAUUCUUCUAGUUGACCAAUCAGUUAUACGUUGACAAUAAUCAACGGAAUGUGGUUCGUUAUCGUCGUUUUUCAUUUAUGUCUGUAGUUUCCAUAUAAAUGAAACAUCAUCUAUGAUAAUCUCAUUCCAAUUCCAUAUCUCAUCCAAACUAGCAUAUAGGGUAAUGAAUAUUCAACUUCAAAACCCAACCGACAUGCAAUAUCCAUCGAAAGUCUUUGAUGUAAAUUCUCCAACUUAUCAAAUCAAAUAGAUUUGAUCAGAUAAUCAGGAUGGUGAGCCUUGAGCUUGUUAAUCUAAGCCACCAAUGUGGAGAAUGCAGCUUGCGGACAACAGCCACACGUGUGACCAACGUGUAAAAGCAUCAACCAAUACCAUAAAAUAUCUAAAUGGUCCACAUGGUGGUUGAAUCAAUCCACCAAUGUCCCCUUGAAUCCUUUGUAGAAAAGAUGGAAGGUGUUAAGGCAUGAUAUGUUUCCAGGUAUGAUGUUUUUACUUCUGGUAAAAGGAUGCUCAAAACUGCGCAUCAUGGAUCAUUCUAGAUAUCCCAAACAUACAUCUAUAGUGAAAAUUCCCUUGGAAUCUUAGGCUUCUGGCCGGCCACAUAUUCGGCUUGAAUGGGUGUAAUCCACUCGUUAGGCGUUCCAUCUUCUCUAGAAUAUGCUUGUGGCUAUAUUUAUAGGAAGUGCAAUAUGGUAAUAAGCCAAGGACUUUUACUUCAUUUUCUACAUUGGUUUCAAUAUGGUGAUAAUGCUCUCGAAGAUCCUUAAAGCUCAAAAUGCGUUCUUCCGGAACGAGUGAGUAUAAGGCUUCCCUUUAUAGUAAAAUUAGUACCAUUGGACAAUAUAGGGCAGUGCCAUGCCCCCACAAUCAGGUUAAAUAAGCCUGAAAGGUUGUCAGGGGAUGAUUAAGUAUGAAGUUAGCAUAGAACCAUAUUGCUAACUUCCCCACAAAACAUACCUAAGCAGGAGUUGAUUGUAUUAGGCACAUGUGGUAAUUUUUGUUAAUUAACUCUUAUUCGAGAAUAAUAGUGACAUCCAAACACCAAUCUUAAAUCCAAGAACAAAAUAAAUUAUUCAUAAAGUAAACCAAAUAUACACGGGGGUUCAGCCAGUGCGACCUUCCAUGUCAAAUCUCGCUAGACAAAAAUGUGUUAGGUGGAGCAAAAUUAGUCUCACAUAUUGACUAUGGGAAUAGUACUCUUCAACAACAUUGGUAGAAGCACAAAAAAAUGCAUAACCAAUGAUCUAUUUUGUCAUAACUGAAUUAGAUUUUGCAGGAUUAAGGUUUAGGAAUACUAUCCCUUAUUCUUGAAGUUUUAAGUAUUAGGUGCUAAGGAUCAUGCUUCGAGCAUGAUGCCACCUUUUAGAAAACCUUGAUUCUACCAUAUGUUGUAAAACAAACUUGAAAUGAGAUUGUGAGAGAGAGACAGACAUACCUAAACUUAGGUUCGAUAGGCUUCAGCAGAAGCUGGAGGGGUCUGUUCGGUAGGCCUCUGCCAAACCAGAACAAUAUCGUUCGGUGCACCUCUGCCAAAGCAGAGCAUGAAAGUCGGUGCAUCCCUGUCGAAGCAGGGCACCACCAUUCAGUAGACUCAAGCCAAAACUGAGUCUUCAGGCCAAUAGGAAGAAUUGGGUGAAAAAUAUAAAGCCUAAAUAAAUUGGACCAAAAACAUAAGCCCAAAAUUGGGAGUGUUAUGGGAGUAGGCCAGGGCUACAAGCCUAGUAGUUCAAGAUUUGGGCUGCAUAAGCAAGCCCAGACACAGAGGCCCAAAUGAGGGUGCACUCUAGUGCCUCGCGAUGCAGGUGCACUGGGUCACCAGCUAUUGGCUAGGAUUUGGUGUUACACGGAGCGAAGGACAAUGUGUGUGUUACGGGCCGAGAUAGGAGUAACAGGGGGCUGUUGCUGGCAAGCCUAAUAGAAAAUAAUUUUUUACUACAAGCCAAGGUAAGCCUAGGCCUAAAAGGAAAAAAGAGUCGUGUGUUUGUCCAACCAGGAAUCCUAGCCCUGCUGGGUGAGUUCACCGGGGAAGAAAACCGGAGUCGUCGCUUCUGUUAAGCAUUGUAGAAGUAGAAGAAGGAAAAAGAGAAUAUUAUUAUCAAGGUUCUAAAAAACGCUAGGCACUAGUCGGGCGGCGGGCUAACGCCUAAUGCCUAGGCGACCUAGGCGGAUUUAGGUAAAUUUCUUGUAUAUCUUGUAAAUAAGUGCACAUUAACAUAUCCAAAAAAUUAUACUUGUAUGAAAUUCAUGGAUAAGAUAAUAAAAGAAUAACAAAAUACAAAAAAAAAAAGUAUCUAACAAAUCCAAAAUUUAAAAACACAUUAAGCAUAUAUGCCAUAUAACUUAAAGCAUUUUGAAUGAUUAUAUCUAAUUUAAAAAAAAUAAAAGUAAUAAUAUUGGGUUGGAUGGUUCAUAAUAAAGAGAAAAUUCUGAUGUCAAUAUGGUGGUUCAUAAUAAUAUUUUUUAGAGAUCAUAUUAAUUUAUGUUGAAUUUAAAGAGAAAUAAAGGUGUUAAACAUGUGGAUGUGGAAAGGGCACACCCAUAAUUACCAUUAAUUUAUGUCAAAUAUGUGGAUGUGAACGCAUGGGAACUCUGCUGUCUGCACCAAUACUUAAUGGUGACAUCUUCAACCUGACACACCCAUCAUUUUUUAGGAGAAAAAACAAGGAACCGAACUGACAGCCUAUGGCUUUUUACACAAAGCAAGCAAUUUGAUGCUGGCUGUCCAAAUUUGAUUGGAGAGAAACUAAGAAAAAAAUUAAAUAAGAAGAGUGUGUAUAGUGGUCACGUGGUGUGAAAGGAAGAGAGAGAACGUCUUCGUCUUCGUCUUUCCUCUUUCGCCAAACCGAGCGAGAACCAGAAAAAUCUGCAUUCUUGAAAACAUAACAAAAUUGAAAUUCCUGGACCGCCUAGGCCUAGGCCACUCAGUCGCCCGCCUAGGACGCCCAAGGGCCGCCCAGGCUGUCUCGGCGGCCGCCUAAUCCCUAUCUCGAUUUUGAGUUAAUCCCCUCGGCAGGCCACUGCCCAACGCCUAGGCGGCCGCCUAAGCCGAUUUUUAGAAUACUAAUUAUUAUCACUUCAAUUCUUUUCGUGAAAGAAAAAGAGAGUCAAACUCAUUUUGGGAAUAUCGAAGUAUGUGUUGAAAUUGAGUCCUCUUGUAUACUUGACUUUUAAUCCAAACGUUCAUUUAUAAAUCUAAAUGGUUGUUUGAUAACUAUUUCUUAAUUAUAUUUUUUUUUUAAAAAGGAAAACCAAAAUCUAAAAACUAAAAACUAAAAUGGUUAUAUAAGUCUGUAAAAAUUCACCCAUUUUGUUUAAGACUAUGGUAAAAUAUGUCAUAACCUUUAGAUUUUUGAUGAAAAAAUAACCAAGAGAACAAGAUGAUCUCGGUCUCUAGGUUUUCUACCUCUAAAAUUGUGAACUGACAUUUCGAUUUAGAGUUCCUAAAAUUCUUACACGUUUGCUUGCACGUGUACAGAAGGUAUGUUUGCUUAACCCUUCUUCUUGAGGGAUAUCAUUUGUCAUUAUUCAUAUUUUUUCAGAUGAUUUGCUAUGUUGCAUGUCUAAUUUCAAUUCUUUCGGGCAUUAAUAACCUGACGCAACUUGGACUUAAAAUGUUUGUCAUUUGAUAGUUUUUGUGAUAUUUUAAUUUGUUUUGAAAACUGAAAAAGGUUUUAGAAGCCACUGGUGCCGUAAAUAAUUUAACACUAUCCAAUAUGAAUAUAAAGCAGUAAAUCCCAGAUUGACAUAAAUAACCUCAUUAAGUGUCUCCACAGAAUCUGCUUCAAGAAUAUUUCAUGAAUUAGGAACUGAAACAAACAGAUACAUCAAUAUGUCAAAGAUAGAAAUUUGUAGUGGUAGUGCGCUCGUGAAAUGUCAUUCAUGUCACUAAUAAAAGCAUCUUUACGUUCAUUCAGCAUAUAUUUCUGGUCACCUAGUCACAUCUGGUUGGUUGUCUGGGCUAGAUGCUAUGGUUGUUUGGCUCACUGAAUAAUUUGAUUAUAGUUGAGAGCCAUUGUCAUCAGCUCUUGUUUUUUUGGUGCGUGGGAUUGAAUUUAUGUGGUGCAUGGGUUUGAGUGUUUAGCUGUUUCCAGAUUGUGCAGAGUACAAAGAGAAGUUGAUACUCUUUACUAUUUGACAAUAUGCUACAAAAAGUUUCUGUAAAAUGGGGACUCAGCAUACAUGUUUUAUCUGUAUGCCACUAUUUAAUAUUUUUAUUUUUAUUUCUUUUUGAGUUAAACAAAUCCGUUGUCGUCCAGCGGUUAGGAUAUCUGGCUUUCACCCAGGAGACCCGGGUUCGAUUCCCGGCAACGGAACUUUUGUGUAUUUAACACAAUACGUUGAAAUGAAGGAAAGCUUAUUUAUUGAUAUCCCCGAUAAGCUACAAAUAUGUACAUAUACAUGAGUCAAAAUAAGCACACAAGAGGGAGCCUUCACAAAGGUUGCUUAGGAGAAGUCUCAGCAGUCGGUAGAGCCCCAGAAAGAGAAGGCACCGGAGGGGGAUCAUUUGGAGCCUCAGUACUGGACAGAACCCUAGAAGGAGGAGGCAUCAGAGGUUGAUCAUUUGGAGCUUCAUUACGCGGUACAGCCCCAGAAGACGAAGGCAAUAAAUGCCUUUGGAACAAACCCACAAAUCUCUGAUGAUCAAGUAAAACCUGGCCAUCAGUUUCCUUCAUCUGGUCAAGCUUCCUCUUCAUGUUUGUAGCAUAGUCAUGUGCGAGCCGGUGCAACUGUUUUAUUCUCAUGCUUGAGCCCUCUAAUCUCCUGUUUGAGACCAUCACUUCAGCCGCCAAUGAUUCAACUUGGCGGGUUCGAGCAAAUAGGCGUUGGGCCAUAUUAGACACAGAACCUGCACACUGAACACUGAGAGCCAGCGAAUCCUUAACAGCUAACUCAUCAGACCGUUUGGAAAGUAGUCUGUUAUCUUUGGGAGUGAGAAGGUUCCUGGCCACCACCGCAGCGGUCAUAUCAUUCUUCAUCACGGAAUCCCCAACGGUAAGAGGACCAGUAGGGGAGACGAAGGAUGGGCGCCAUAUAUGUUGUCUGGAGAAGGCGGGGCUGCCUCUUCAACAAGGUUCAAGUCAAAACGACGGUCGGAGGGGCCAGACAUUUUCAAAGGUGUUGAAGAGAGAAGAGGUCGGACAAAUCAAGAUCUUAGAAGUGCAAGAAUGAAGCUUCUACUGGUGGAGAUUCAAGUGUGCUUUGGAACUUAAUGCCAGCCCCUAUAAAAAUCUGCACUCGACGAAGCUUCAGAAAUCGAAGAGGCGCCUGCUCAGAAAUCGAAGAGGCGUUUGCUUUCUCAAAAAGCUGGGCUGCUUAGAGAUCACGAGGGUUGAUCUCAGAAAUCGAAGAGGCGUUUGCUUUCUCAAAAGUUGGGCUGCUCAAAGACCACGAAGGCCGAUCUCAAAAAUCGAAGAGGCGCUCGCUUUCUCAAAAGCUGGGCUCCCCAGAGACCACGAGGGCCGAUCUCAGAAAUCGAAGAGGCACCUACUUUUCCAGCCUUUUCCAGCCUUGUCAGCACCUGUCACACGCACACUCAGUUUUGCGGAAAUUAUGGGCAUUCUGUUAAAGACUUCUGGGGAAGUAGAAAACACAUGAAUCUUACUGUUCAAUCACCCACUUCCCACACGCAACAAUAGCUCAUGGGUACCACAGAUAACUUUGCCAAAGUUCUCUGCCAAAGUUGAGCACGUGAAGCUUGCAGCUCCCACUACAUCGCUCUGACCAAGAAAGGUAAAAGAAUAGCAAAGAAACAGCACUAACAAAGUUUAGACCCAUAAAUUUUGAAGGUCUAGCUACCAUAUUAUUACCCACAAGGGUAAAGGAACAGUACCACUGCUGGAUAAUUGGAAAGUCCCUGUGUGUCAACCUCUGUGCUUCGUGGCAAGGUAGACUAGCAAACAUGCCCAACCUUUACUCACAUUCGAGAAAACACUCCCAAUAAGAUUGCUUGCUCCAAAAUCGAAGAGGCACCGUCCUCCGAAUCUCAAGAGCCAGACUCCCAACAUGACUACUUUCUUAAAAAUCGAAGAGAGGGUAAAGGAACAGUACCAUUGCUGGAUAAUUGGAAAGUCCCUGUGUGUCAACCUCUGUGCUUCGUGGCAAGGUAGACUAGCAAACAUGCCCAACCUUUACUCACAUUCGAGAAAACACUCCCAACAAGAUUGCUUGCUCCAAAAUCGAAGAGGCACCGCCCUCCGAAUCUCGAGAGCCAGACUCCCAACAUGAUUACUUUCUCAAAAAUCGAAGAGACACUGCUCCCCGAAUCUCUCGAGAGCCAGACCCCCAGCAUGAUUGCUUGCUCAAAAAUCGAUGAGGCAUCGUUCUCCGAAUCAAUCGAAGAGGCGCUCGCUUUCUCAAAAGCUGGGCUGCUCAGAGACCACGAGGGCCGAUCUCAGAAAUCGAAGAGGCACCUACUUUUCUAGCCUUGUCAGCACCUGUCACACGCACACUCAGCUUUGCAGAAAUUAUGGGCAUUCUGUCGAAGACUUCUGGUGAAGUAGAAAGCACACAUGAAUCUUACUGUUCAAUCACCCAUUUCCCACACGCAACAAUAGCUCAUGGGUACCACAAAUAACUUUGCCAAAGUUCUCUGCCAAAGUUGAGCACGUGAAGCUUGCAGCUCCCACUACAUCGCUCUGACCAAGAAAGGUAAAAGAAUAGCAAAGAAACAGCACUAACAAAAGUUUAGACACAUAAAUUUUGAAGGUCUAGCUACCAUAUUAUUACCCACAACUGUAAAGGAACAGUACCACUGCUGGAUAAUUGGAAAGUCCCUGUGUGUCAACCUCUGUGCUUCGUGGCAAGGUAGACUAGCAAACAUGCCCAACCUUUACUCACAUUCGAGAAAAACACUCCCAAUAAGAUUGCUUGCCCCAAAAUCGAAGAGGCACCGUCCUCCGAAUCUCGAGAGAGCCAGACUCCCAACAUGACUACUUUCUCAAAAUCGAAGAGAGGGUAAAGGAACAGUACCAUUGCUGGAUAAUUGGAAAGUCCCUAUGUGUCAACCUUUGUGCUUCGUGGCAAGGUAGACUAGCAAACAUGCCCAACCUUUACUCACAUUCGAGACAACACUCCCAACAAGAUUGCUUGCUCCAAAAUCAAAGAGGCACCGCCCUCCGAAUCUCGAGAGCCAGACUCCCAACAUGAUUACUUCCUCAAAAAUCGAAGAGACACUGCUCUCCGAAUCUCGAGAGUCAUACCCCCAGCAUGAUUGCUUUCUCAAAAAUCGAAGAGGCAUCGUUCUCCGAAUCUCGAGAGCCAGAUACCACAGACCACUUUUUCAAAGUGCUCUGACAGAGUUAAAACAUGUGAAACUGGCAGCUCCCACUACCGUGCUAUGACCAAGCAGGGUAAAGGAAUAGCAUUACUACUUGUUGUUAGGGAGACUCCUAUAUAUGUCGACCUCCAUCCCCAACGGACAGGCAGACCUGCAAAAAUGCUCAACCCUUCAUCAUAUCUGAGAGGGCACUUCCAACGAAGCCUUUCGAAAUAUUCAGCUUUCUUUCCCCCCGAUAAUACCUCUGCAAACAAGCUAUACUAGAGCAAGAAUAUCUCAUAUCAUCAGGGUUAAAAGCAAGAGUAUCCCAUAUCAUGCUUUUUCCCUGUCUUUUCUUUUGGCCUUGUUUUUACCUGCAAGACAAGGAGAAAGAGAGCAAUCAGUCAGCACUUGGAAUCAAGCUUCCAGCCAGGAACUGACUGCCUGGAACCCCUUACCUGAUUACUUACCUGGCAUUGCUCUCGAGUACUCAUCUUCAACAUCUCAUGUUUCCAGGGAAGAUUCCGCAUCUGCUUGAGGAACAGAUAGGGCAAGUGCGAAGGAUACAAGGAAGCAUGUGGAGACAAGCGUAACAGCACACGUGCCGAUACAUUCAUUACUCUCUGUCAAAAGCAAAAGUAUCCCAUAUCAGCAGGGUGGAACGUACUCUAGAUUUGAUGGACUUGUUUUGACCCUCAAAUUCUUCAGUCGGCCUUAUACUCUGGAGGAAACCAGAAAACCCUCCAGCUCAGUUCAAGAAUAAGCCUGUGGAAAGUUACUUCUUCAAAAGCAAAAGUAUCUCAUAUCAUCUCUUCUCAUUUUUCUUCUCUUUAUCCUUCAUGCUGCUGCAAGAUGGGGAGAAGGUGAACAAUCAGUCGGAGCUCUGAUUGCUUACCUUGUCUGUCACCUCUUUCAGCAGACCCCCUAGCUCGGCGACUUGGGGGACUCCUACUACAUGGUUUGUAUCGCGCUUGACCAAGCCUGAAACUACAAGUAAGCUUCAAGUGAAAUUGAUACAUUACCUUGUGCAUCUCCACCAGUUAAAGAUACCACCCCUGGAUGGAGGAAGAGUACUUCCAGAGAAGAUGCCACAUCUACCUAUGAGACAGAUAAGGCAAGUCAAGACGACACCACACUCUCCGAUACUUAGAAGUUUCGUGAUUACGAGAUCAUUCUCCCACAAUAUUUCCUAAUGUCAUUUGUACUAAAUCAUUCACUUGUACUCACUAAAUGAGAGCUUGAACCUAUGUACUUGUGUAAACCCUUCACAAUUAAUGAGAACUCUUCUAUUCCGUGGACGUAGCCAAUCUGGGUGAACCACGUACAUCUUGUGUUUGCUUUCCUAUCUCUAUCCAUUUAUAUACUUAUCCACACUAAUGACCGGAGCAAUCUAGCGAAGAUCACAAAAAGCGAUCGUUUUCGCUACCUAGGAUCUAUCUUGCAAGAGAACGGAGAAUUAGAUGGAGAUCUCAACCAUAGAAUACGAGCUGGAUGGAAAGAGUGCAUCCGGCGUGUUGUGUGACCGUCGUAGGCCACUGAAGCUCAAGGGAAAAUUUUAUAGGACGGCAAUAAGGCUAGCGAUGUUGUAUGGACACAGAAUGUUGGGUGGUGAAGCAUCAACACGUACACAAAAUGGGUGUAGCGGAGAUGAGGGUGCUUCGUGGGAUGUGUGGGCACACGAGAAAGGAUAAGAUUGGGAAUGAGGAUAUCCGAGGUAAAGUAGGAGUAGCCGAAAUUGUAGGAAAUAUGAGAGAAAAUCGGCUCCGGUGAUUUUGAACAUGUGCAAAGAAGGCCGACUGACGCUCCGGUUCGAAGAUGUGACUACGGGACAGAGGUUCAGGGCCGAAGGGGUAGAGGAAGACCUAGGACAACUUUGGAAGAGACUCUAAGAAAAGACUUAGAGUACUUGGAUCUAACGGAGGACAUGACACAAAACCGAGCGCAAUGGCGUUCUAGGAUUCAUAUAGCCGACCCCACUUAGUGGGAAAAGGCUUUGUUGUUGUUGUUGUUGUUGUUAUUUCUUUUUGAGUUAGAAGCAUGUGUCUGUCUGAUUUCAGGUGAGGGAUGAACUCGAACAUUUGUUGGAUGACAAUGAAGAUAUGGCACAUUUAUAUUUAACAAUGAAAUGGAUGCAGAAUCAACAGCCUGAGGCUUUGUUGGGGCGUUCUGCUUCAAAUAGCAUCUCUGCACCCUAUUUACGUCGGCUUAGUUCCAACAGAAGUGGGAGCUUGGUAAACAGUAACAAUAUGGAUUACGAUGACGUAGAAGAUCUAGAGAUGCUGCUUGAGGCAUAUUUUAUGCAACUGGAUGGAACCCGUAACAAAAUAUUAUCUGUGAGUGCUAAUUGUUAUGAUCUACUAUAACCACUUUAUACUAAAGAAAUUGACUAUUAAGUUCAGUUUACACAAAAACUUCUUAAAGGAUCUCGUCCUGGAGAACUUAACCUUUUACAAAACAAUAUUAAAUAUCAUUUUUCACCGUUAGCUUGCGUUUUAAUGCAGGUACAUCAACUUUGAUUCAGUUCCAGAUAACGAAUUUUAGGUUAGAUUUCUAAAUGUUGCUUAUUUUCUGUGCGAAGUUCUGUGGUUGCACUUGCUCCUGGAAUAAUUUGGAGGCUUUGGAGACCUCUUGUGGGUUUCCAGUUGGAACUAAUUUCGCUAUCAUUGGUACAUCCAUGUUACAUCUAUGUUGCAAGUGUGCAACUUCAAGUGCAUCCAUACAAUUAUACACAAAUGCAUAAAACUUACAUGCAAGCACAUCACAUUAAUAUACUACAAGUGUGCAACUUCCUUGGGACUGCUUAUCUCUUCUUAGCGAAUAUCAUUCUUUGGUGUGCAAGGGAAAGAAGGCCAGGGUGAUGUGGCGUUACCUGGUCUUGGUGGUGAUAUGGGUGGUUUGGAUGGAGAGAAACAGGAGAAUUCUUAAGCUGACGAUGGAUUGUGUUUUGAGGAGCUUUGGGACAGAAUUUGUUUUCAGUAAGCGCUUCGGGGCACCAGGAUCCUCGCCGGAUCCAUUCUCUAGGGAUCCUGUGAUCCUGUCCGUUCAUCGUAUAUCGUGCUGUCCGUUUUUGUUAGUUACUAUUUACAUCUGAAUUUUAAAUUUUAAAUUUUAAAUGAUUUAUGACCGCACGAUAUACGAUCAACGGACAAGAUUGCGGGAUCCCUAGGGAAUGGAUCCGACGAGGAUCCUGGUCCCGCUUCGGGCUUUUGUUUCCUCGGAGUUCAGAGAUACCCCUUUAUCCCUAAUUUGGAUUGAUUGGAAGGCUGCAAAAAACAAAAAAACAAAAAAAAAUUAAAGAAAUGUUUCCAAAAUCAUGGCAAAAAUUGACUGUAGAAGAUCAAACAACAAAUGUAAAUAGUAGUAUUUAGAUCAAUAAAAAAUGGAAUGCAUGAAGGAAUUAUCUUAAAUUCAGAGGCUCGAAUUCAAUAAGCCGAAAGAACAAAAAUGCAGCUGGAUCAAAGUUUGUUCUGUUGCAUAAACCAAACAGAUUCUAGUUCCAACUCAAAUUUUCCAACAGAGUGGAGCUCAAGAAACCAAAACCUUCUUUCAAUGGCAAGGUAUCAAAAGCCUUCUUUUUCACUCAUAAAGCUUUAACCACCACCUCAAAUUCUCCAAAAAAAACCCAAAUCCAUUUCCAAGUUCAAAUAUACACUAAAAACAGAAUAUUUUAUAGAUAACUCGCAUACUGGGGAGGUCGAAGAGAGCAUCUAAACCGAAUUCUUUUUAAGUUGCAGCCCCUUUUAAGUCUUCAAACUAUUUUCCUUGAGUUGCAUAUUCACCAAGGCUGCACUGCAUCCAUCAGUGUUCUAGUCUCCUGUAAAAGCAACAUAUGAGUUUUCCUAACUUCAAAAAUACAACCAACAGAGUCAAAAGUCUUGAUAUGCAUUAUGAGAAGAAACCAUCAUUGAAUCUGUGUGCAAUAUAUGCAUUUGUGGGUGUUUAGUGUUUAUCCGAGUCCACCAUUGUUUGUGCUAUGAGUAUUUAGGAGUGCGAGUGCGUGUGUGUACUUGUCGCCAAAAAAAUUAAGAUUUUACUUUUAGUCGAUCAAUCAAAAUUCAUCCAAAUACCACUUGGUUUUGGGAAUCCUAGUAUUCUCCCAAUGUUUAAGAUUUAAUAUUCAUUUUUUAUCAGCUUAAAGAUUUUUUCUAUCAAUUGAUCAUUGGUCCAACGAAACUCCACAUUCGUUGCAACCCCAAAGGUAAAAUACCCCUCCUGGCGUAAUACCAACACACUAAUAAACAUGGUAUUAAAAUAUGUGUCUCAAUACAUCAUAUUUGCUACUGCCAUUGAUAGGGAGAUUAAUAACAGACCUCUCGCAAUGUUAUCGUGUCAUAGUAAUAAUUUAUUUACUUCUUUUAUUGUAACCAAACCUAUACCAGUGCAUAUGCUUCCUAGGAGGUUCAACGUGAGAGCUUGAUAAAUUGAUGAAAAGGAUUGGAACAAAAGUAAUUUUAGUGCCUUCUUCUUCAUUGUGGCUACCGACGAAUCUUCGCGAUUUCCAUUUAGGAGGAAGAUAUGUAGAGCUUUGGAUUUUAUUGAUGCUCGGGUGUUCUCACCACCUUCUUGCCUCAAAUUGGCCUUGUUGCCUCUGUUGCUCGUGGGUUGUUUCCUGCGAGCUUCCUUCAAUUCGUGGUGCCGAUCUUCGAUAUGCUCUUUGGAGGUUGUUGAUGUUUUCUUUUUAUCCACUUUGGGGGCUCAAUUUGGCAUGAUUUCAGGCAACUAGUUCGAGUUUGGUGGUCCUUUGAUGGCAGCAGCGGCAGAGGAUGUAGGCUGCUUAGGUUUUUUUUGUUUUUUGUUGGGCUUGAUUUCGUUGUACUUUGGAGGUUCAUACUUUUGUUGUUGUGUUUGUAUUGUGUGGGCCUCUUUCUUAUAAAUGUGUAUUGUUGUUAAUAAAAAAGCAGCCCAUUGACAAAAUAAAUAAAAUAAUAAUAAUAUUUUAAAAUAGAGAUUACAAAUUGAUAUACACGUAGUAAAAGAAUCAGUGUCAAUUUCUCCAUGUUAUAGCCAUUCCACAUAACAAAUCGUCGGCAAACAAAAUCAGUUUUAGUUUUUUGAAUUAAAGAAAAAGCCAAAAAACAUUUUAGAGAGUCCAUUAGCAAGUCAAAAUCAUAAUAGCCAUAGCAGACAAACCCAGAAAAAAGAUAGAAACAAAUAAAAUCAUUCAGAUUUUAUAUACGGUUGGUUUCUCAAGUAGUGUUUACAUAUUCAUUCAGAUUAUGCAUGUAUUAGGGCGUUUUAAGCAGAACGGUAGUAUAGUAUUCAGAAUUUAUAUUCAAAUGAACUUCUUACUAUUCUACUUAAAACACCAUCUACUCAAAACUAAGUGAAAAUUGCAUCAUUUUUAUAAAACAUUGAAAAACAUAUGAACUCAUGCCCAACUUUGAUUAAUUUGACAUUAAUAGUUGGCCAAUUCAACAUUCAGAGUUGAUAGAAGAGUAUAUAACAACAUUGGAAAACAUAUGAACAUGUCCACCUAUUAUCAUAUCCGACAUUGCAGUUGAUUAAUCUCACAUAAAUUCACAUCAAAAGAACCAUAAAUUUGAUGAAGGAUUGUCAAAAAACCCACAAUUUAAACGAAAAAAAACCCACAAAUUUAAACCAAAAAUUCUAUAAAAUCAUGAGAAGUUUAAUAAAGUCCAAUUAUAUUAAUCACAAAUUUGAUCAUACAAAUCUUCACAUCCGAUAAGUUUAGAAGGUACAUCGUAUCUCUACAAGCCAAGGCUCAAAUUUCCUUGCUGCCGCCUUCAUUCGAUGAGUUCUGAUUCAAGCAGUCACAUACAUCAUAAUAAGUUGAUGUAUUCAAUGGGAAUGAACUUAUCAGAAAUUAUGAAACCAAUUGAACACGUAUAAUGUAAUGUCCGCAAUUAAAUAAUGAGCAUGAAAAAAUGACUAACAGGGCAACACAAACUGCUCAACUUAUGAAUUAAAGCAUCCAAUAUUUAGAAAAUAAUUGAGAAUUUUCAUGGUCAAAUUAAUAAGGAAAAUUAUGAUUAAAGAAACUCGAUUGUUUCAACUGCUAAUUCUGACCAAGCACCAGUAGUUCAACAUAUUGCUUAUGAUGAAAAUUAUUAUAUAUCAGUGGUGCAAAUUAGCAAGGUAAUAAUGCCUUCAAAUUUAAAUUCACCAAUUUCAUAACCUUCUCCAUCAGUACCUUCACCUUCUCUGUCAAUAGCUUCACCUUCUUUGUCAAUAACUUCACCUUGUUCGUCAGUACCUCACCUUCUCCACCCCCUCCUCCUUCAUCACCUACUUCAUCAACUCUCAAUAUCACCAAAAUUCUAAGGGGGGGUGUAUUCAAUUGGGAAUUUGAGAGAUUUUAAUGAAUUUAUAAAUCCAUGGAUUUUUAUGGACUCUAAUUGAUUUGUAGAGAUUCCAUGUAAAAUUUUGAUUCAAUUCCCUCAAAAUCUCUUGGGGAGAGGUGAGAUUUAUGCUUAAAAUACACUACAAAAUCUCUCCAAUUUCCUCUAAUUCCUCAUCUUUUUCAAAUUCUUUAAAAUCAAAUUCUAAUUGAAUACACUUGGAAUGUUAUAAACUUAUUUAAAAUUUUAAUUAAAUACACCCGGAUUUCUAAGGAUUUUAAUAAACUAUCUAAAAUCCUGAUUGAAUACACAUUGAAUUUCAAAUAAUCACUUAAAUUCCUGAUUGAAUACCCUUAGAUUCAUUAAAAGAAUUAAAAUCCAUCAAAAUCCCAAUUGAUACCCCCUACACGACUAUCCAGAUUUUAUACUAAUUUUUUUAUUUGCCCUGAAAUAGGAAAAAAACCAAAACAGUGAUCUGUUUUCUCAAGCAUAUAUGCUUGCUGAGACAUCUUUUUUUAAUUUUUUUUUUGUGACUUGUUGAAGGUCCUGAUCAUUUGUAAUCGUUGAGGACAACUUAUAUUGCACGCUACAAUUGUUGCUAAGAAUAUGUCCUAGUACUUUAAGUAUCAUAAUACAAUUUUUAAAAAUAUUUUAUUUUAAGUUUUUAACUAAUUGUAUCAUAACACUAGUUUGCAUAUUAUGUGGCCUCAUAUGCUAAUAAAAGGAUUUGGAUCCUCUCCUGAGCCUAAAGAGAGGAUCCUCCUGAUCAAGAAGUGUGAGCCGUUGGAUGAAAAUCCAAUAGUUAUAAUUAUUAUAACUUUAAAAUGACUCCCUUAUUUGUAGCCAUUUAUACCACGUAAUAUGCAAACUAGUGUUAUGAAGGGGAAGAAGGACGGAGGAGCCAGGCUUUGGAUGCGGUUUGACCACUUUGGGGGCUCAAAUCUCAUCGAGUGUGACAAGAACGCUAUUAUUCGACGCGCUGCCAUUCCCGCCCGGGACUUGAGGAUUCUCGAGCCGGUCAUCUCCCAUUCCUCCAGCAUCCUUGGUACUCGUCCUCCUCCCCUUUUUUUUAUUUUAUUUUGUCAAUUAUCUUACUUUAUAUGUGAAUUCUCUUCUGGAUCAAGGUAUGCUCUUCAAUCAAAUAUUAGAAAUACUGACCCACAGAAUUCUUGUUUGGGUUUCUUAAGCCCACUAAGAACAAGUCUACUGGAUGGUGGAAGGCAAGGGCAAGGGCCCAAAAGAUGCCCUUUGUGAAGUUUCAGAUUCUCAUUAACGUUAGGGUAAACUUUACAAGGCUUUAUAUACUAAGGUCAUCUCCAAUAGAGGGCUAGUCAGAGGGCUCGUUUUAGCCAUCUGGCCCUCCAAGAUAUUAAUAUUUUAAUGAACAGUACAUGGUCAUAUUUGCAUACAUCUCCAAUCGAGGGCCAAAGGGUCAUAGGGCUCAUUUUAACCCUGUCACAAAAAACCGUCUCCAACCGAGGGUCAAAGGGCCAAACAUAAUUUAUUAUUUAAAUUUAAAAACUACAACAACUUAAAUUCAAAUCCAACAACUUAAAUUUUGUGAGGAAUGGUGAAUGAAUGGUUUAGGUAUUUAUAGGAAAAAAAUUAGAAUUUUUUAGAAUUUAAAAAAAAAGGCCCAAAAAACCUUAAAAAAUAUAUAUAUAUAUAUAUAUAUAUAUAUUUGAAUCCAACGGUAACGCAAACUAGUCGUUGGAUUCAAAUUUCUUUUUAAGCAUUCCUGUUGGUUAUAACCGACAUGAUUAAUGUUUUUUCUGGCUAGCCAACCCUCCAGCCCUUUGGCCCUUUCAGAUUCUGUGGGGCCCUCUCAGAUUCCACGAGCCACCUGGCCUAGCUCUCGGUUGGAAACAGUUUCAGGCUAUUUUCGAUCAUCUGGCCCUCUGGACCUUUUGGUUGAAGAUGGCCUAAGGGCGUGUUUACCAAACCGGAAUGAAAGUGUGGGAAACGGAAUUGCACGAAUUCCAAGUUAUUCAAGCAUUUACCAAACCGUAGGGAAUCAACAUUCACGUGGGACCCAUCCAAAAUACGGAAUACAAUUCCUUAAAUUCUCGGAAUUUGAUUCUCAAUUUGGAGGUGGGAAUUGAGUUCUUGGAAAUAGAUUCAUCAGGGAUCCAAGUUUUCUACCAAUAGUGUCCAUAUGCUUUUUUGGUAAACCCAAAUACCCCUCACAAUUUCACCUCCCCAGUUCCAUGACCAGUCUAUAGACCCAUCUCUCUUCUCCCCAAACCCACCAAUUCCUAACGGAUGAGCUUCGACUCCGGUGAAAUCCCGACCCCAUUCUCCUUGCCCUGUCGCCGCAAACUAGCAGACUAUCCAAAACCCAUGCAUGAACUCACAAAUAGAGGGGAAAAUGUGUGGCGUGGCCGCAUGGUCAUCUUAAGACUAAGAACAGGGGGUGGGGAGGAGCUGGGUUUGGGAUGUAGGGGGGAGAAUAUUGUUUUUUGGGUUUUUUUUUUUGUGAUUUUAUAUUUUUAUAAAUUUGUUAAUUAUUUAUUUUGCUAAAUAGUUCUGUUUUCAUAUAGCUAAUUGGAUUUUAUGAGCAUACUUAUCAAAAUUAACCAUUAACUGGCAUAUAAAAAUAUUAUUUAUAACAAGGGCAGUUUAGUAAUCAAAUGGGUUUCAAUUCCGGUUCAUGUGAGUUAGUAAACAACUUUUAUGUAAUCAACAUCAUUUUUACUCUGAUUCCAGAUAGUUUAGUAAACAGCUUCAACAUGAAUCCAAUUUUGAUUCCACCCCAUUCCAUCUUCUCCUCAAUUCAAUUCCUCCUACUCUGAUUACGGAUUAGUAAAAAGCCAUAAGAGGUCUGCAAAACAUAGGAGUCUUGAAGCAGCUAUACAAUUAAAUGCAAAUUACAAAUAAAUGAUAAUAGCUCAUCCUAAUUGCCUUUGUGAUAUAAACCCCAUCCUGACUACCCUUGUCUACACCCUCCAACCCAUUUAACAACGAGUACGGCUCCUCUCUAGAUCUAAAAAAACUAAGACUAAAGAUUAAAUGAUCCAGACCGUUGAAAUUUGAUUUAACAACUACAAACAGGGGACUCCCUCUAAAAAUUAUAAUAAUUGUAGUUGGUGGAUAAAUUUCAACGGUCCGAAUCAUUUGAUCCUUAAUUUCAGUUUUUUUAGAUCUAGGGAUGAUUUGUACUCUUUAACAACCUCGAACGGUCCAAUUUUACAAAGGCAACUGAGAGAGAUUUUUCACUGUAACAGUCACACAUGAUGGUACACCACUUGUCGCUAUAUAAAUGAUGUGAUAUGUAUGUUAAAAAUUUAAUAACUUAAAAAAAAAUAUUCCCAAUACUCACAUAAAAACACAUGAUGUACCACAUGUAUUUCUGUUACAACUAAAAAUUUCUCGGCAACUGGUGGGCCAUGCAAUACCCGUCCAAAUGCCUGAGCAAGACAUGUUGGCCUUGCGCUAGUUUAAGCUUUUUACUUUCAAAAUAAUUCUUUAUGUUUUAGUGACAAAAGAUACGAAUUUACAUUGCAACUUGAGCCAUCAUUUACUCAAAACUACAAAAAUGCCAUUGAAAAGUAGCACUUCCUCUAUAAAAUCCAGUUGGGUUAAAUGUACAUCUUGAAAGGGGUGUUUGCCGCCCACAGCACCACGUGUAUAGGACUUUCAAAUCCUUGACCUCGGUUCUUGUUCUCUUCUGUUGAAAUUAAAAUAUCCAUUGGUACUUGAGUGAAAUAAAAUCAUCGGGGCCUUGUACAAGGCCCAAACUUAUUUUAGUUCCAAGCAUCUUGUUCUUUUUUCUUUUUUUUUCUGGGAAACCUUAACGGUACGAGAUAAAUUUUAUUAAUAAUGAAAAAAAAAGUUACACCUAGUCAGGGGAGACAUAAACCUUACCCCUUAUAAAUCAGAGAUAACAAAAACAAUACACAAAAAAGAAAGGGAGGACAUAAACCAUACCCUUCUAAAAACGAAAACAAUAAAGAUACAAAGAAAAUAAGGGGGACAUGAAACCUAACCCCUCUAAAACGAAACAUAAAGGUCUAAACCUGCAAAACAAGUUGAGCAACACCAAAAAGUUAGGAAAAAAAAAAGUGAGACAAAUAUGGAUGCCAAGAUGCACAUUAAUUUGAGAAGCGAUAGCCAAGCAGGCCAACAUAAUCUGAAAACAAUGCAGCAAGCAAUUGUCAUAGGAGAAUCAUGCCAAGUUAAAGUUGGAGAAGACAAGCCCAUGUUAGCAAAAUUGUCCGCAACAAAAUUACCUUCCCGAUAUAUGUGAGAUGAGUAGAAAGUCAUUUUUCGAAUGCAGUCCAAACAAAUAGAUCAUUACGUACGAAGAUGCCAUGGAGGAUCAAAAUCAAACAGUUGAAGAGCAGAAAUAACACUAGAGCUGUCACUUUCCAACCAAAGACAAUGUCAACCCAGCUGAUAUGCAAACUCUACACCAAUAAUAAUUGCAUAUAAUUAUGCAAAAAAGAGAGUUGCAAUAACUAAUCUAUUGGUAGAAACCACCAAGAAAAUGACCAUGACAGUUCCUGAAAACUUCAUAUGUAUUAAGUUUAAUCCAAGGAAACCAAGGAGGAGACCAAAGGAUAGGAAGAAUAGUAGGCGCCUUGCGAGAGAUAGGUCGGAUCCCCAUCGAAGAGAUGAUUCGAGUGUCAAAACCCUAAAAGUAACCAGUAAUAAACUUUCCACCAUGAACAAUCGCAUAAUUGAUAGACAAGCAGAGAUGAUGAAAAUAUAGUGGUCGACCUUAAAAAAUAAACUUAUUUCAAGCCUUCCAAAUAGCUGCAAUAGUAGAAAGACUCGUAAAAAUCCAAAGAUUAUGCAACUGUUGGGAAAAGUGCUUACGCGCAUAGAUAUCCCCAAAAACAUCCAAAGAAUCUGAAAGAAGCAAAGAGGUACCAAAAUGGCAUGCUAACCACCUCCAAAGCUGCCUAGAUACCCAAACAUCUCGUUCCUUUUUUCCCUUCCUAAUAAUUAGGAAUGAAUAUUGUCUACCAUUAACAGAGGUGAAUGAUGAAAAAAAGUGAUGAAUUUUAUUUUAUUUUCAAGGCACAAGUAGUUAUUAUUUUCAUCUACAGAAAGAAUAAAUGGAAAAUUUUCAGAUUGACCAAGAUGAAUUUAAUUGAUCUACAAAUAAAUCUUUCGAUUUGAGGACUACUCAUUCCUAAAAAAGGACACGUAUUUCAUAAAACUGAUUAAAUAGAUCAAUUAUUGCAACCACAUGCUUUUGACUGACUUACAAAUUUUUCCAUAACGACUUUGUCUACUGUCUUUGUAGGACCGGAUGUAGAAAAUGAAACAAUUACCCUAAUAUAAACAAGGAAGAAAAUGAAAGAUUUAGCUCUGAGUACUUAUCGAAUAGACAUUAAGAUACUGCCAAUCCUCAGACCGCAGCCUAUCAUCAUUUGAACACUUGUUCAAAUUUACAAUUCUUUAGAUUAUUAAUGGUAUUUUAUUAUGAACACUUGUUCAAAUUUACAAUUACAAUUAUUUAGAUUAUUAAUGGUAUUUUUGUGACAGCCCGUCCCUAAUUUUAAGAAUUUUUAAAAUUUUAAUAAAGGAUUUUACAAAAAUGCCCUUUGAGGCACGCAUAUCAUUCGAGGUUAAUCGUUGUGUCGUGCCAUCUAAGAUUUGUUUUCUUGACAUAUCCUCGUAGUACUCGUCGUUACAGACGCGUGGGCGCAGACGGUUCGUGAUUUGAAGUUAUAUCGAAGAAGUUAUUAACGUUUGAAAUUUGGGAUUUUAAGGAAUUACAAUUUUAGUAAAAUAUAGAAAUUCUUUUAUGAAAAUGGACGGCCCAGAUUUAAUGGAAUUUGAAAUGGAUGGCUGAGAUGAGGGAAAGGUUUUUGGUGUGUGUAUGUGUAUGAGAAGAAGAACAAGAAAACAGAAAAAGAAGAAGAGGGAUUGGGCAAAGCUGCCCAAUCGGAGAAGAAGGAGGAGAGGCGAAUCAGAAGAAGAGAGAGGGAAAAACUGACCAACCAGAGGAGGGAAAGGAGGAAAGGAGAGAGGGCGAGAAGCGGAGGAGAGAAGGAAGAAAUGGGUUUUCCCCAACCCGUAUACCCGCGCGACCCGUGCUUCCAAUCGGCGGGUUUUCGUCGUUUUCAUCCAAUUUUCCAACGAAUUGAAUCAAGGUACCACUUCCAAUCAACAUCUAGGCCUUCCCUCUUCACGUUUCACCCCAAGAAUCAUUGAAUUGCAUGGUGAUUUCGCGAAGAACACCCACACGGGUGCCGCGACCUUUUUCUUUAAAUUCAUCAAAUUUUGAAAUUUUUUCUUUCAAUUACUAACACCAUUAGCAUUCCUUUAGGACCUAGAACAAAGCCCAAGAGGUAGUUGAGGCGUUGGAACAAUUUUGAAGGUCGAAUUGGAAACACCCAAUUCUAGGGUUCUUCACGGUUUUGGUGAAAUUGAAGAACUUCCAGGCCAAAUUGGCCUUGGCCACAGGUAUGAAAGUUGUUCUCCUCAUUGAGAUCUUCAAAUCUGAAAAUUUUGGUAAUUUUUGGAAAUAGUUGAAUUUUCCGGCGAGCCGGGGCGGCCACUCGCGGUGGCCCACGCGGCGGCGCGUGGCCAAUGGCCCGCCAAUGUCAUUAUUAGCCUGUGUUUGAGGUUCUAGGUUCAGUUUUGAUAAUUGAUAGACGUAAAUUGAAUAAUUGAACCUAAGUUGGUUAUGAUUCGUGGUUAGGUGAAAAUGUGAAUUGACGAUCCGACCGUUGGAUCGUCAUCAAACUUUGAUACGUUGUAAUACGUAAUAUUUGAGGAUUAUAGGAACUUACGGAUUGGGAAUCCGAUUUACGGAUCUUCCGGAAUUGAAGUUGUAAGUUCAUAAAAUAGAAUGUUAACCGUCACUUAGUUUUGGAAAUUGACGGAGAUCCGACCGUUGGAUGGUAAUGAAAUUUUAGGAUGUUGUCCUAGAGGUAUAUUGUGGACCUCUGGAAGUUACGGAUUUGAAAUCUGAGUUGCAGAUCAUCCGGAUCGAACUACGUAGUGACGUGUCUUAUAUAAGUUAUGUAUUCGAUCGGCAGGAUUUCUGAGGUUGGAUUUGAUUAUUGUUCUAGGCACUGAUCGUCACAACGCCUUGAUGUACGGUGCUAGGGAGUUGUUGGGCGAACUCCAGGUGAGUGGGCAGUUUUGAUUUCGUAUUACCUAUAUACAACUGUUUUUCCCAGAAAAUACGCUUUUAUGAAAGUUAUGAUUUCAAUUGCCAUGCAUGCAAUCGUUGAGAUAAUUAGUUUGAUAAAUGAUGCAUAUAUAUAUGAAUUGAUGCGGUGGACGUACAUGUGAGUUUUAUUAAUAUGCAGAUGAUUUAUUUUAUAUGAAUUGCAUUGAAAAGCUCAUAACCUGCACCUAGGUGAUAGUGCUUAUAUUAUUAUUCACCACACCGCACGCUCGUCUUGGAUCCAAGUAGGUGGAUGUCGUACAGACCAUGUGAGGGUUCCGACAUGCCAGUCGUACAGACCAUUAGAGGGGUUCCGACUGGUAGGUGACCUUAGAUAUGCGCGCUGAUGAUUGAUGUGAGAAGCACUAGAGCGUAUUUAUACACCUGUCAUCGUACAGAUUACCUUAUGUAGUUCCGAGUGACGUGCAGAGUUAGACCGUACAGGUCACCGAGGUGACUCCGGUUGGAUUAGAUGUUAAGCUUUAGAAUCAGCCGUACAUGACCACUGUAGGGUCUCCAUUCACCUGAUUGAUAUGGAUGCAUUCUGAUUAUGUUUUCGACACUUGGCAUGGCAUAUUUUUCUGAAAAGUGUUAAAGGAUUGUGAUUUGAGAUUUUUGCUUAUAUAUAUGCUUAUAUAUAUAUAUGUUUAUAUGCUAUUUUCUGGGAAAGUAUACAGGUUUUACGGCGAGGGGUUAGAAAUGUUUUAAAUGAAAAGUUUUCGAAAAACUUUGUUUUACUGACCCACUCAAUUUUAUUUUGCGCCCCUCCAGGUCCUAGAUAGCAGAGCUUUGGUGGCCACGAGGAAUCUAACGGUGUUCUGACAGAAUUCACAAAAGUAGGACUCAUCAUCGGGUGGGUCAUCUUAGUAAUUGUAAUUUUUUUUUUAAAAGCUUCCGAACUGUGUAAAUGGUUACGUCACUCUCACGUGACGGCCAGCACGCCCUCCUUCGGGACGGGGUGUGUCAAUUUUAUUAUGAACACUUGUUCAAAUUUACAAUUCUUUAGAUUAUUAAUGGUAUUUUAUUAUAUAAUUCCAAAGGUUGAGCAAAGACUUCUCCUCCAAUUUUGUCUUAUUCCUGCUGAUUGACUUAUAAAUUUUCCACAACAACUUUGUCUAUCGUCUUUGUGGGGGAUGGAUGUAGAAAAAGGAAGCUCUUUUCAUAAAAUUCCAAGGUUGAGCAAAAGACUUCUCCUCCAAUCAUAUGUUUCUUUGGAAGAAGAAGAAGAAUAAAAAAAAAAAUCAUCUUAAGACAAAAAUGGAAAUAAGAUCAGCCCUAGAAUAUUAUGCAAUAUUAAUGUUGAGCUGUCAAUUAUUAUGAAUCGUGUUUGUACCAUACUUGACCAAUCCCGAAACUACCGAGCACCGGCCAACGCUAUACUGUCAAGGACCCAGAAGAGUUCCCCUCCGACCAGGAGGCCAAUCACUACUCGACACGUGUCAAGAUUAGAAGCCAAUCAGAGCGCAGCACGUGUCGACAUCAAGAACCAAUCACAACAUGACACAUGUCAAUGUGACAAAGCUACAAGUUUUUCUAUAAAUAGGGGUCAUUCCCCCACAAUAUUGCCUAAUGCCAUUUGUGUUAAAUCAUUCACAAGAACUCACUAAAUUGAGAGCUUGAUCCUUUGUACUUGUGUAAGCCCUUCACUACUAAUAAGAACUCCUCUACUCCGUGGACGUAGCCAAUCUGGGUGAACCACGUACAUCCUGUAUUUGCUUCUCUGUCUCUAUUCAUUUACGUACUUAUCCUCACUAGUGACCGAAGCAACCAAGCGAAGGUCACAAAAACCUGACACUUUCUGUGUGUACCAAAGUCUUCGCAGAUUUUGUGCAUCAACAUUUGGCGCCGUCUGUGGGAAACGACACUUAUUCCUACUCUCUUCAGCUGUGUCAAGCUGGUUUCUAUCAUUCGUACACUUUCUUUUGACCAGGCAUCCCUCUCCAACAUGGGAAGCGAAGGAAGUCACAGCACACAGAAUGACACCCCCCUUGCACAUAGUGCGAAACAACGAAAGAAGGAAGGAAAACGAGUUAUUCUUCAAGCUAAAGUCGAUGAGUUGGAAGCUCAGAACAACAAGAUAGCAAUGAGGAAUGAGGUCCUCCAGGAGCAAUAUGAGAAGCUCUUCGAGACAUUCCACGAAGCUAGGCAAGCUCAGACACGCGAGCUUGUUGCCCCCGUGGAAGUCAACCAUCAACUGGGUGCCCUCCAACAUGGAGGGUCACAUGCAUUCGACAUAGAUAUCCCUGAUAGGGAACAGAUUACCCCUCGACUUGAUAAUCAACAUAAGGCUUCUCUUAACCCAGUUGCUUCGACCCGAACCAUGAGAAGUGGAGGGAGACACCUCUUUGCUGAAGGGGCAGAAGGAUCGAAAGCCGUCUUUCGCGAUUGUCGGGAUUUCCUGAAGCAACGUCGAGAGAAUUCCAUCCAUAUAAGCUCAAAGAUUAAUGACCCAAGGAUUUCUGAGAGACUCGGUCCCCUGCCACGGCCCAAGCCGGCCACCAAUUUGGGGAAGGGGCAACAAGUCCCAAAGAGACAUGAGGGUACAGGGGACUCAGAGGUGUUCCGACAGACAUACCCUGGAAGCCAGUACAGCGAGUCCAGGGAAAAAUCACAUGCCCUUGAUCAAACCUUCCUAAUUCCAAGAGGAGAUGGAGAUUUACGAAAGAAAGCUCCAGUGACACAUAACUCCGCUCAGGACCCCCUUGUCCUACAACUUCUUGAGGAAGUAAACAAGUUGAAGGCUGAACGUCAGGCUGAAAUACCUGACUGGAACCAAACCCAGGCCUGGCCCUCUUACAAGGAGGAUCCUCAACACCCCCCUUCAAGCAAAGACAAAGCAAAAGCUUGGCUUGCAACUUUAUACUGGAAAAGAGGACCCGAUUGAGCACCUUAACCUCUUUGAGUCCACCAUGGCAUACCGGAUGCACACCGACGAAGAGCGAUGUCUUCUCUUCCCCUCCACCCUCUCUGGUGGAGCUCUAAAUUGGUAUUGUCGUCUUACACCUGAGACGGUAGACUCAUUUGAGGAAUUGAGGAAACUAUUUGUUUCCCAACACAUUUUCCAAACCGAUCGCUUGCACUCUGCAGAUGACUUGUACACUAUCCGCCAGAAGCCAGACGAGUCAUUACGUAUGUAUGCUGGCCGCUUCAGCCAUGAAUACUCCCGGUGUGCCGAGGCAGAUGACAAGACUGCCCUCAAAGCCUUCACGGCAGGCCUACGUGAUUGUUUCUUUAAAUACAUGAUCAAUGCCAAUACUUGGAAGACUUACUCUGAGGUGAUGGCGCAGGCUUAUAACCAUGCCUCCGCCGAGGCAAAGACAUAUCAGGAGAAACCCCCUACAACCAUCCUUUAUCAACAAGUGGGAGGUGGAAGCCAGACUCACCUAAAUGAGAAGACCUCGACUUCCCAAACAGCAGUGGCACCUCCCCAUGCCUUGCAUAAUGCUUCACCGAAUCAACAGACAUAUCAAUUUCAAGGCAAGAGGAAGGAUUUCCAUCCUCACCACUCUCCUUUCAGUAAAAAGAGUAAGGGACACUAUCCCGAUAACCAAGGGUAUCGCCACAAUAACGCUCGCCCCCAGGCAGUCAAUGCAGUGGGUCAAACCCGCGUCAAGAUACCCCCUACCCCAAGGUAUGAGACAUACACGCCCUUGAAUGCCACAUGCGCGGCCAUUUACCCCAGCAUAGCUCACCUGAUACCAAAGCCAAAGCCGAGGCACCCAGAUUACACGCCCCCCGAAUAACGCGGGCAUGUUUUGUUGCUACCAUGAGCAUAACGGCCAUGAUAGCGAGAAAUGUAUCAUCCUCCGUGAUCGUAUUGAAGCUUUGGCACGAGAAGGAAAAAUUGAUCAAUUCCUCCUUCACCCUCAAAGGGAUAACCGUAACCAACGCCAGGUGAAUGUCAUAUAUUCCAUAAGUGGCGGCACACCCAUAUCUGAAUCUUCCAAUAGGGCCAUGAAAAACAGUGAACGAAUUCUGAGGCCUGGUCACCAAGUGUUUCACGUGGAAGACAUCAGGGGAGGGAAGUAUCAAAAGCCUAACUGGGAUCCGAUAUGUUUCUACCCUGAGGAAGAAAGAGGCAUCAUCUACCCUCAUAACGACCCAUUGAUCGUGGAGGCUCACAUAGCCAACUUUGAUGUUCGACGAAUCCUCGUAGACACAGGGGCUUCGGUCAAUAUCAUGUUUGCCGAAGCUUUCAGGGCACUCAGUGUAGCUGAACACUUGCUCGAUCGCUCGAUUUCUCCUCUGAUAAGCUUCUCCGGUGAUAUCGUGCAACCCUUAGGGAGCAUACAUUUACCCUUUACUAUUGGUACAGGCCCUUACACGGCUACCAUUACCACUAACUUCCUAGUGGUUGACUGCCCAACGGCAUACAAUGUCAUCUUUGGGCGCACAGGCAUCAAUGAUCUCAAGGCUAUGGUAUCCACGCAUAUGCUGUUGAUGAAAUUUCCAACCCCCCAUGGCAACGGCUACAUCAGAGGAGAUCAGCUUAGUGCACGAUCAUGUUACAACACUUCAGUUAAGCAACAACACUUGCCCGGACCCAAGGAAACCCUGUAUGUACAUGACCAAGUCACAAAGACCAGCCUAGAUGAAGCGAACUUGGAUCUUCCUGAUAGCAACAAUCAACCCGAUGAUCCUCGAGAUGACUCUUUCACCCAGCAAGCCCAACCUGCUGAAGAGUUGGAGAAGGUACCUAUCUCAAGAGAUUAUCCAGAUCGCAUGGUGAAGAUUGGCACCACAUUGUCACCACCCCUUCGGUUAGCAUUGAUAUCUUUUUUGAAAGAGAACACUGAAGUCUUCGCCUGGUCAUACGAGGACAUGCCAGGCAUCUCUCCCGAUGUCAUCUGUCAUCGUUUGAGUAUUGACCCCAAGAUCAAGCCAGUGAGACAGAAGCGAAGAUCUUAUGACGCUGAACGAUACGAGGCAAUGAAAGCAGAAGUUGAAAAACUCAAAGGCAUAGGCUUUGUCCGCGAAGUCAAUUACCCGACAUGGGUAGCAAAUGUGGUCCUUGUUAAGAAAAAUCCGACCAAAGAAAGUCUUUUGCUUCAAAAGGUCUUGUGGAGAAUGUGUGUUGACUACACCGACCUAAACAAAGGGUGUCCGAAAGAUAACUUCCCUCUUCCUCUUAUUGACAGACUUAUAGACUCUACGGCCGGGUGUGAACUCCUGAGCUUUAUGGAUGCUUACUCAGGAUACAACCAAAUCCUCAUGAACCCUUCGGAUCAAGAACACACAGCCUUCACUACCGACAGAGGACUAUACUGCUAUAAAGUCAUGCCUUUCGGCCUAAAGAAUGCAGGAGCGACUUAUUAGAGACUAGUCAACUCAAUGUUCGCCGAGCAGAUUGGGAAGAGCAUGGAAGUUUACGUUGAUGAUAUGUUAGUCAAGAGCAAACAUGCUGACCAACACAUCACCAACCUAUCUGAAACUUUCACUAUUUUGAAGAGGUAUCGAAUGAGGUUAAACCCCAACAAAUGUGCCUUCGGCGUAGGCUCUGGCAAAUUCUUAGGUUUCAUGAUUAGCCAACGAGGCAUUGAAGCUAAUCCCGAGAAGAUCAAAGCAAUCCUCGACAUGAAGGAACCGGUAACUUCAAAGGACAUCCAGAGCCUUACUGGCAAGGUGGCAGCCUUAACUAGGUUCAUUUCUAAGGCCACAGACAAAUGUGCUCCCUUUUUUAAAGCACUUAAGGGAAGUAGGAAGUACAUUACAUGGACUGAUGAAUGUGCCGAGGCAUUCAAAAACCUCAAGGAGUACAUGAGUAAAGCCCCUCUACUCUCCAAGCCCGAGGUAGGAGACAUUCUCAUUAUCUACCUAUCGGUAUCAGCUUCAGCCGUAAGUUCCGUUCUCAUUCGAAAGGAUGGGAAUAUUGAGCGACCUGUCUACUACGCUAGCAAAGCCUUACAAGAUGCGGAGACACGGUACUCUAACAUUGAGAAAUUGGCUCUGGCAUUGGUCAUGUCUGCUCGAAAACUCCGCCCUUACUUCCAAGCGCACUCCAUCAUCGUGCUUACCAAUUAUCCUCUUCGACAGAUACUCCAAAGUCCUGACACUUCAGGGCGAAUGAUCAAAUGGGCAAUAGCGUUGGGUGAGUUUGACAUCUCCUACCAACCAAAGCCAGCUGAGAAGGGCCAAGCAGUGGCAGACUUCAUUGCCGACUUCACAUAUCCGGUUGACAUUGCUUCUACACCUGAAGCAGUGGCUUCAUUACCCCCGGAAGCUCAGAAGAUAGAACCAACAACCCCAGCAUGGAGUCUGUAUGUUGAUGGCUCAUCCAACCAACAGGGCUGUGGAGCGGGACUAGUCUUGACUACACCCGACAAAGUAGCAAUGGAGUAUGCUUUUCGUUUCAAAUUCAAGGCAUCAAAUAAUGAGGCCGAGUAUGAAGCCCUUCUAGCAGGAUUACGUUUGGCCAAACACCUCGGGGUUAAACAAAUUGAUAUUUUCAGUGACUCCCAAUUGGUGGUCAACCAGGUUACCAACAACUUUGAUGCUAAGGACAGCUCCAUGGCAGCAUAUCUUGCGCAAACACAACUUUUGCUCAAGCACUUCCACUACCAGAUCACCCAAGUUCCGCGAGCGGCAAACAGUCAUGCAGACGCCCUGGCUCGCCUCGCCUCGGCUGUGGAAGACAAGAUUGGAAGAAAAAUUCAUGUCGAACUGUUGGCAAACACCAAGCACCAUGGCCGCAGAAGUAUGCAACUUACAACAGGGGGAUAGUUGGAUCACCCCGAUCUAUAAUUUCCUUGCUCAUGGCACCCUCCCAAAUGAUAAAGUCCAGGCUAAGCAAAUUCGAUACAAGUCUACCCGCUACCUGAUCAUCAAUGAUCAACUCUAUAAGCGAGGUUUUAGCCUGCCAUACUUAAGGUGUCUUACGCCUGCCGAGGCGGAAAUCGUCCUUCGGGAAAUACAUGAGGGAGUCUGUGGAGAUCAUGCUGGAUCUCGGUCCCUAGCACACAAGACUUUUCGCCAAGGAUAUUACUGGCCAACACUCCACCAGGAUGCCAUCAAAGUAUCCCGCUCAUGUGACAAAUGUCAACGAUAUGCAACUAUUCCUCAUUCCCCUCCAGAGCCUCUUACUCCUAUGAUCAGCCCUUGGCCCUUCGCCCAGUGGGGACUUGAUUUGAUCGGCCUAAUGCCGGCAGGCAAGGGCAAAGUCUGUUACGCAGUCGUUGCAGUGGACUACUUCACAAAGUGGGCCGAAGUAGAACCCUUGGCAACCAUUACUGAGGCAAAGAUAGAAGACUUCGUGUGGAAGAACAUCCUUUGUAGAUUCGGCAUUCCCAAUGCGAUAGUCACUGACAAUGGGCGACAGUUUGACAACAAGAAGUUCAGGUUGUUCUGCUCUAAGUUCAACAUCAACUUAUGCUUUGCCUCUCCAGCUCAUCCCCAGUCUAAUGGACAAGUUGAGGCCAUCAACAAAAUAAUCAAGCGCACUUUGAAAACCAUCUUGGACAAAGCUAAAGGCUGUUGGCCAGAAUUUGUACCCCAAGUUCUUUGGUCAUAUCGCACUUCAUAUCGGACUUCAACAGGAGAAACUCCAUUCUCACUUGCCUUUGGCACAGAGGCGGUUGUCCCUGUUGAGCUCGAGCAAGCAACAUUCCGAGUCUAGAACUACAUUCAAAGUGAAAAUGACAAACAACUCACCCUCAACUUGGAUUUAGUCGAGGAACACAGAAACCAAGCUCACUUGAGGAAUGUCGCCUACAAGCAGCGCAUCUCCAACUAUUAUGACUCUAGGGUCAAGCCUCGUUCUUUCAAAAUAGGAGACUGGGUCUUAAAGAAAAGAUUACUCUGCGACAGAGUCCCGAGUGAAGGCACACUUAGUCCAAACUGGGAUGGACCGUAUGAAGUCAUUGGCAUCAGUCGCCCUGGCUCUUACACACUUAGAAGCUCCGAUGGCAAGACCCUUGGCCAUCCAUGGAACGCUGAUCACUUGAAGUACUACUACAAAUAGACUCACGAUGUACAAGUGUUGAGCUAUAGCCGUUCGGCAUCCUAUGUAAUGAAGGUCAUUUGGCAAUGAAUUCAAUAAAGAGGUAAUUUAGCCAACUCAGCCCUCACUCUUUUACAUUUUAUAGCAAGCGAUGCCGGAACCCUUCUCAAUCAGAAAGCAAUCCGUCUUCCACAGUCACUACAAAAACAAGCAAAUGAAGACCGUGUCAAGCGCCAAAAAAAAAAAAAAAAAAAAACUUCACCCGAAAAGCUUCAUCCAAAAAACUUCACCCGAAAAGCUUCACCUCCAAAGCUUCACCCACAAAGCUUCACCUAAAAAGCUUCACCCACAAAGCUUCACCCAAAAAAAAAACUUCACCCGAAUAGCUUCACUUAAAAAAGCUUCACCUACAAAGCUUCACCUAAAAAAUCUUCACCUAGAAAGCUCCCUCUACAUACUUUCAUCUACAAAGCUUCACCAUCAAAGCUUCACCUCGAAAGCUUCAUCUACAAAGCUUCAUCUACAAAGCUUCACCAUCAAAGCUUCACCUAGAAAGCUUCAUCUACAAAGCUUCAUCUACAAAGCUUCACCAUCAAAGCUUUACCCAGAAAGCUUCAUCUACAAAGCUUCACCAUCAAAGCUUCACCUCGAAAGCUUCAUCUACAAAGCUUCAACACCAAAGCUUUACCUACAAAGCUUCAACACAAAACCUUGCUCCAAAUAAACAAAUUUUGUUCACAAAACCCAAGAUGCCCUUGAACUUGUACAAAAACACUUGGGUAAACAUAAACAUUUUUUGUUUUACACCCACAAGGGCCCAAAAUUUUCCUUCUUAUUUAUUCAUUUAUAUAUGUUCCCAAACAUAUUAUAAUAGAUCCAACAACAAGCCAAAGUCCCAAGUUUCAUAAUGGACAAAAGUACAAGCAAUUCAUCAAUAAUGAAGGUGCUACAAAAAUUGGAAUCUGCCCCAAAAUAGAAAUCCAACCCAAGAGACUUUUUCUUUCUCUCCCUCUUCCGCCUCCUUUCAUCUAUCAAAUUUCUGCAACCUCUGCUCUUCUCCAAUGGAGCUGAAUUUUGGACACCCUAUAGUUUUUGAGCAUAUGAACAACUUUCAAGAAGGAAUCGUUUCUGUUUGAGCGACGGAAAUUAAAGUGUUGAAGCUCCAAACAUGAUAGUCGGCUUCUUGCAGAUUUCGAAGCUGUUGUGAUGUUUCGAAGAUCUGGAAAUAUUUAACCGUUAGUUCAUCCUGAAUUUUUGAUAUGUUAUGAAAGAGUCGAUGAGGAACAACUUCAAUGAAGAAAGCAUGCCGAUCUGAACAAUAGAAAAUGGAGUUUCGAAGCUCACAACAAAUCUGACGGGUUGACAGAAAAAUAAUAACCAGUCAUUCAUCAUACCUGGAUUUCUGGAGUUAUACUGCUCCGAGGGAUCUCAAAUUUUGAUAUGUUGUAGUUCACGAGCUGAGGAACAACUUCAAUGAAGAAAGCAUACCGAUCUGAACAAGAGAAAAUGGAGUUUCGAAGCUCCCAACAAAUCUGACGGGUUGACAGAAAAAUAAUAACCAGUCAUUCAUCAUACCUGGAUUUCUGGAGUUAUACUGCUCCGAGGGAUCUCAAAUUUGGAUAUGUUGUAGUUCACAAGCUGAGGAACAACUUCAAUGAAGAAAGCAUGCUGAUUUGAGCAAGAGAAAAUAGAGUUUCAAAGCUCACAACAAAUCUGACGGGUUGACAGACAAAUGAUAAACAGUCACUCAUCAUACCUGGAUUUCUGGAGUUAUACUGCUCCGAGGGACCUCAAAUUUGGAUAUGUUGUAGUUCACAAGUUAAGGAACAACUUCGAUGAAGAAAGUAUGUUGAUAUGAACAAGAGAAAAUGGAGUUUCGAAGCUCACAACAAGUCUGACGGAUUAACAGAACAUUGAUGAACAGUUACUCAUCAUACUUGAAUUUCUGAAGUUGUACUACUCCGAUGGAUCUCAAAUUUGGAUAUGUUGUAGUUCACAAGAUAAGGAAAAACUUUCAUGAAGAUGACUUUGCAAUCUGAGCUAUAGAGAAUGGUGUUAUCUUGCAUCCACUCAGGCUGAUUAGUGGAAACGAAAAGCAAUUCCACCAAAGAAAAGAUGAAAAAGAGAGAAAAAAGCUACUAAUUGCACUUGAUCUUGUCUAGUCAAUAGCAUGCAGCAUCAAACACACAAAAGUUGGAAAUAUUUUUAGAUAAAGCAUAUACGAAUGUGUGACAUCGAAACAAGGAUUCGUUACUUUGACAAAUUAGUAACACGCGAGACGCCUCAUUCGGCAACUCUCUUCGCCUGAAGACUUGGGGGACUCCCACCAUAUGCUACUGCACCUUGAUACUCGGCAGUCUCACAACCACUCAGUGACUUGGAUUUUUCAAGUCUCCAACCGAGAAGUUUUCCUCACUCGGGAAAUUAAGGGAACACUACCUCAAACUACAUGCUUCACUCACAAAGCUUCAACAAUACAGGUUUCAACAAAAGCAAAAAUUCAAAGAACUUUAUGAAGAAGGCUUUGGUGUAUUUAACACAAUAUGUUGAAGUGAAGCAAAGCUUAUUUAUUAAUAUUUUCGAUAAGCCACAAAUAUGUACAUAUACAUGAGUCAAAAUAAACAAACAAAAGGGAGCCUUCACAAAGGUUGCUUAGGGGAAGUCUCAGCAGUCGGUAGAGCCCCAGAAAGAGAAAAGCACCGGAGGGUGGUUAUCCGGAGCCUCAGUACUUGACAAAACCCCAGAAGGAGGAGGCAUUGGAGGUUUAUCAUUUGAAGCUUCAUUACCAGGUACAGCCCCAGAGGACGAAGGCAAUAAAUGCCUUUGGAACAAACCCACAAACCGCUGAUGAUCAAGUAAAACCUUACCAUCAGAUUCCUUCAUCUGGUCAAGCUUCCUCUUCAUGUUUGUAGCAUAGUCAUGGGCGAGCCGGUGCAACUGCUUAUUCUCAUGCUUGAGCCCUCUAAUCUCCUGUUUGAGACUCAUCACUUCAGCAGCCAAUGAUUCAACUUGGCGGGUUCUAGCAAAUAGGCGUUGGGCCAUAUUAGACACAGAACCUGCACACUGAACACUAAGAGCCAGAGAGUCCUUAACAGCCAACUCAUCAGACCGUUUGGAAAGUAGUCUAUUAUCUUUGGGAGUGAGAAGGUUCCUGGCCACCACUGCAGCGGUCAUAUCAUUCUUCAUCACAGAAUCCCCAACGGUAAGAGGACCAGUAGGGGAUAUGAAGGAUGGGCGCCAUAUGUUGUUUGGAGAAGGCGUGGCUGUCUCUUCUCCAAGGUUCAAGUCAAAACGACGGUCGGAGGGUCCAGACAUUUUCAAAUGUGUUGAAGAAGGAAGAGGUCAAACAAAUCAAGAUCUUAGAAGUGCAAGAAAUGAGCUUCUACUGGUAGAGAUUCAAGUGUGCUGUGGAACUUAAUGUCAGCCUCUAUAAAAAUCUGCACUCGACGGAGCUUCAGAAAUCGAAGAGGCGUUUGCUUUCUCAAAAGCUGGGCUGCUCAGAGACCACGAGGGCCGAUCUCAGAAAUCGAAGAAGCACCUGCUUUUUCAGCCUCGUCAGCACCUGUCACAUGCACAAUCAGCUUUGCGGAAAUUACAGGCACUCUGUCAAAGAUUUCUGGUGAAGUAGAAAGCACGUGAAUCUUACUGUUCAAUCACCGCUCUCCAUAUGCACCAUCAACUCCUCGGGUACCACAUAUAACUUUGUCAAAGAUCUCUGACAAAGUUUAGGCACGAGAAUUUCGAAGUUCCAGCUACCCUACUAUUACCCAUAAGGGUAAAGGAACAGCACCACUGCUUGACAACUGGAAAGUCCCUAUGUGUGUCGACCUCCGUGUUUUUGCGGCAAGACACAGAUUGGCAAGAACGUCCAACCUUUACUCACAUUCGAGAAAAGACUCCCAACAUAAUUACUUUCUCAAAAACCGGAGUAGCACCGCUUUCCGAAUCUCGAGAGUCAGAUCCUCGACGGGAUUGCUUGUUCGAAAACCGAAGAGGCACAACUCUCAGAACUUCGAAAGCCAGAUUUCCUUAGAUAAAGCUUGUCUAUAAUCUUCACACGUAACAUCAGCUUUCCAGAUACCACAUACCACUUUUUCAAAGUGCUCUGACAAAAUUAAAACACGUGAAGCUGGCAGCUCCCACUACAUUGCUGUGACCAAGAAGGGUAAAGGAAUAGCAUUACUACUUGUUAUUGGGAAAUCCCUAUAUACAUUGACCUCCCUCCUCAACGGACAGGCAAACCUGCAAAAAUGCUCAACCCUUUCUCGCAUUCGAAAAGGCACCCUCAACAUAACCUCUCGAAAUACUCAGCUUUAUUUCCCCCCGAUAAUACCUCAGCAAAUAAGCCACACCAAGAACAAGAGUAUCUCAUAUCAUCAGGGUCGAAAGCAAGAGUAUCCCAUAUCAUGCUUUCUCCCUGUCUUUGUCUUUGUCCUUGUCCACACCUGCAGGACAAGGAGAAAGAGAGCAGUCAGUCGAAACCUGAAAUCAAACCUCCAAUUUAGAACUGACUGCCUGGAGCCUUUGCCUGGUUGCUUACUUAGCAUUGCUCUCGAGUACUCAUCCUCAACUGCUGUCAAGGUCACGAAUUCCACCGGCAAAUACCUCAUGACAGUUGAUCAGAUAUUGGCUCUUUACACUGAAGCUGCCAAGCGGGGAUGAGUCACUACGAAGGAAUGUUCUGAAGGACCAUUUAAAUGCAAAGGUUGCACACCACUUCUGCCAUGCAAAAGAUUGAAGCAGAAGGUUCAACGGUGGGCUGAAACAGAUCACUACAGCACGACACCUUUCCAUACCACAUUCAUUAUUCCGUCAACAGCAAAAGUAUCCCAUAUCAUCAAGGUCGAACGUACUAUAGAUUUGAUGGACUUGUUUUGACCCUCAAAUUUUUGAGUCGGCCUUAUACUCUGAAGGGCACCAGAAAACCCUCCAGCACAGUUCAAGAAUAAGCCUGUGGAAAGUUACUUCUUCAAAAGCAAAAGUAUCUCAUAUCAUCUCUUAUCCAUUUGCUUCUCCUUAUCCUGGCAGUUGAAUGAGAGACAAGGAGAAGGAGAACAAUCAACCGGAAGCCGAAGUCAAACCUCUGAUCCUGGGUUGCUUACUUGGAAGUUUGACUGCUUACCUUGUCUGUCACCUCUUUCGGCAGAUCUCCUAGCUCGGCGACUUGGGGGACUCCUACUAUAGGGUUUGUAUCACACUUGACUAAGCCCGAAACUACAACUAAGCUUCAAGUGAAAUUGAUACAUUACCUUGUGCGUCAACAUCAGCUAAGUACACCAUUCCCGGAUGGAGGAAAGGUACUUCCAGAGAAGGGCAGAUGAAGAUCAGACCACACUUCGGUACUUAGAAGUUUCGUGAUUACUCAAGGGAUUGGAUCUUGCAAGUCCCCAACCGAGGAGUUUCCCUCACUCGGGAACUUAGGGGAGCACUGUUUGUACCAUACUUGACCAAUCCCGAAACUACCGAGCACCGGCCAACGCUAUACUGUCAAGGACCCAGAAGAGUUCCCCUCCGACCAGGAGGCCAAUCACUACUCGACACGUGUCAAGAUUAGAAGCCAAUCAGAGCGCAGCACGUGUCGACAUCAAGAACCAAUCACAACAUGACACAUGUCAAUGUGACAAAGCUACAAGUUUUUCUAUAAAUAGGGGUCAUUCCCCCACAAUAUUGCCUAAUGCCAUUUGUGUUAAAUCAUUCACAAGAACUCACUAAAUUGAGAGCUUGAUCCUUUGUACUUGUGUAAGCCCUUCACUACUAAUAAGAACUCCUCUACUCCGUGGACGUAGCCAAUCUGGGUGAACCACGUACAUCCUGUAUUUGCUUCUCUGUCUCUAUUCAUUUACGUACUUAUCCUCACUAGUGACCGAAGCAACCAAGCGAAGGUCACAAAACCUGACACUUUCUGUUGUACCAAAGUCUUCGCAGAUUUUGUGCAUCAACAAAUCGAAUUACUUGAAAGGCACACAAUAUGAUUUUAAGUUAUGAAUCGAAUUACUUGAAAGACACAAACUGAUUGGCUCUUUGUUCAACUCAGUUUGUAAUUCCCACAUAGAUAUGUCUACAUAAAUGUAUCGAAGACUACAAAAAUAAAUGAAUAGAAAGGAAAUAAUGUUAAAUACUUAGAAAAUAUCCAACUACAAAGUAAUAACUUGAAAGAAAUGCAAAAUACAAGAGAUACACAGACAUGUUUGGACCCAUUCGGGCAAACUUUCUUGCUAGUCAGGCAAGUUUGUGCAGGUUGUUGAAGUGAUUUGAAAAGAGUUUUUCUUACAGGGAAUAAAUACUACAUGCAAUGUAGCACUCUAGAUGUCUACAAUGAGACAUCUAAUUCUAAUUUUCUCAAUUAAAUAUCCAAUAGUACUAGAGUAAAAUAAGGGCAUUCGGACUUUGUCUACCGCCUUUGUCGGGAUGGAUGUAGAAAAAUGAUUUCUGAUAAAUAUAAAGAGUAGGGCCGAGGUUGGACCUUUACUCUUUACUAAUGUGUUGUGUGUAUAUAUAGCACUACUCUAAAUUACUCAUUCCUCACAUCCAUCACCUACUCCAUAUCUAUAUGGCGAGAGUCAUGAGACUUGUUUCCCUACUCACCUUUCUUCUAUCCAUUGCGUCUUUUACACUUGCCUUAUGCAAUCGAAACCUUAAUUCACCACCUUGCAAAGAAAAUGAGAGACGAGCACUUCUUAUGUUCAAGAAAGAUCUCAAUGAUUCUUCAAAUUUGCUUUCCUCUUGGGCUGGUGAAGGCGAUUGUUGCAAUUGGACCGGUGUUGCCUGCGACAAUUUAACCGGUCAUGUCCGUGAGCUCCACCUUGCUGGUAAUUAUGAUGAAGAGAUUGGUGAGUUUCAUAGGCUGGGUGGUAAGGUAAAUCCUUCUCUACUCAAUUUAAAGCAUCUCAGCUACUUGGACUUAAGCCGCAAUAAUUUUAAAGGACUGCAGAUUCCCAGCUUUUUGUGUUCUCUUAAAGGUUUAAGAUAUCUUGAUCUCUCGAGUGCAGGGUUCAGCGGAACCAUUCCUCAUCAGUUGGGAAAUCUCUCGAGCCUACGAUAUCUCAACCUUUUUGAAAACUAUGGUUUGAUGGUCGAGAAUCUCGAAUGGCUAUCUGGUCUUUCUUUGUUGAGACAUCUUGGCAUGGGCUAUGUAGAUCUUACCAACGCAUCUCAUUGGUUACAAGUAAACACAUUCCCUUCUCUGCUGGUCGAUUUGCAUUUGCCAAGUUGCGAACUUCAUCACAAGCCAAGUGGUAUUGCGAACUUGACAAGUCUUAAAGUUCUUGAUCUAUCCGAGAACUAUUUCAACUCUAUCAUACCUACAUGGUUGUACAGUUUGGGCCAUCUUGAGUCCCUCGAUCUUUCUUACAAUGCUUUUCAUGGUGAAAUUUCGAGUUCCCUUGGAAACUUGACAGCCCUUGUUCAUCUUAACUUAGCUGGUAAUCAACUUAAAGGGGAAAUCCCAA